GGGGCACGUCCUUGGCGCACUUGGCCCGCAGCCUCCUGGCGAAUAGCGGGUCGAUGAGCGGGUUGAGGUCGAUGUUGGGAGCGAAGCGGUCGGAGAAGACGGGGCAGUGGGCGACGCCGAAGGUGUGCGCGCCGGAGAGCGAGACGAGGUCGGCCACGUCGAGGCUCCGGUUGCCGAAGGAGGAGAUGAGAGUCGGCACGUCGAAGGAGGGCGCCGGCAGGGUGUCCACGAGGUCCUGGGACGCCGGGGCGAGCCCGUCGCGGCGGCCGAGGGCGACGUCGAAGUGUGGCCCGCCAGCCUGCAUCCACCACGUACGUACUCGUUGAUUAAUCGGUUCUGCUCAGGUUGAAAAUAUCGUCUGACAUAUGUACGCUUGUGUGGAGCAUAUGGCCGGCAGGCAUGAAGUGGAGUGUACCUGUACGAGGGCGUCACGGGUGGCGAGGACGGUGAUGUCGGCGCAGGAGACGGUCGGGCCGCAGGCGGCAUGGACGGCGGCGCGGAUGCGCUCGAUGAGGUCGAGAGCAACGGGGCGGAGCGUCUGGUUGGGCACCGCAUUCAGCUCGCUGUUGUUCCCGGUGAGGAGCACCGACGCGUCGCAGCCCUGCGGGAAGCAGUCGUGGAAGAGGAUGCGGAUGAGGGCGGGGGCGACGCCGACGUCGCGCCGGAAGGUCUCCGCCACGAGGUCCCCCACGAUCUUCUCCAGGCCCGGGCACGACGCGGCGUGGAAGCCCCGGGACAGCCCGCCGGCGUCCGCGGCCGAGAUGGUCGACUGGGCGGCGCAGAUCAAGGCUGCCAGGACGAGGACGGUCGCUGUUGCUCUGGACGCCAUUGCUGUCGCCCUACAGAGAUGUAGCUGAGCUUUUUUGCACGAUGAUGGUCGUGUGGCUUGCUCAAGCUAUGGACACUAAACCCUUGUUAUUUAUACACGGCCAAGUGGCUAACCACCCCACAGCUGGGUAGGUACGUACGUGGCUUAACUCGAUAUUAAUUAUCUACAAGGUGGAAAACAUGUGCAAGUCGGUGCCUGAAAUUUCCCAGAACUUUCCGUAUGCCUUGCGCCCAACAACCCCUUCACUGCGUAUGUGAGUAAUUUACGAUUAGGAUGUGUGACAUCGAUCCAAGUGGGACAUAUACAUAAGGGGUCUGGAAUCAUUUUGAAUGACGCCGAGCUGGCUACGUACGACCUACAGGGAUAGGAUCAGCCUGAGCUUCUUAACCCUCAAAAGAGUUAAGUCAUCAAAAUAUUCUCUUGAUCGAUGCGUGCGUUCCCACACAACCAUCUCAAAGCAUCUCCUGGUCCAAAUUUAACGAUCCAGCCCGUGGGGGGGGGGGGGGGGGCGGCCCGGCCCGUGAAAGUCCUCGGCCCCCCUCCCAGGUCGCACGUAGCCUAUGGGGAUAGCUCUGCAAGGCAGAAGCGCACGUAGAAGUAGACUAAUGUAGAUGCGCAGCCAACGUAGGACGUGACCGAUGGACAAGAUCGUGCACAUCACUACCACGCGAAGAUAAUGGGCCCGACCCAGCGCCAUGGGCAUCAUUACCGUGGUUCAGGAAGACCCAAGGUAAAAAACUAAAUUAACGCACAAUGCUCAGUCUUGUUUUUUAGGUCGUCACGCCCAAACUCCCAUCCCAAUCACGGCAAGGCCAUUGCGUGUUUGCCGCAUGUGUUUGCCUCCGAUGCGGGGGCGACACUACGACAGAUGAGCAUCCAAAUAGGGUAGUCAUCUAGAUCUGGUAGGUCAAUUUGCUCCUUUUGAUUCAAUCUUGUGGGUUUUAUGAAUUUUGGGGUUUCUUGAUUUCGGGGAAAAAAUUAUAGUUACAAUGAGAGGAUUUUUGUUUGGCAUUUCAAAAUUAGUAGCCAUGCUGCUAUUGUUCGGUUAUGAAAAUUGGGAAUAUGGGACGAUGUCUACUGCAACAGGAUUAUGAUUAAUCAUUGAAUCGUGUCAAGUUAUUUAUUAACUCGAUAAUCAAUGUUAUGGUUUUGUAGUGCAGCUGCAAAAGCAUUAUGUCCAAGGCAUGUUGAUAGUUCCUUCCGUAUUGAAGAUUCCAACUUAGAUCUCCGGUAUCAAAGUUUUGAUAGAAAAUGAUGUUUUUGGAUUUGGAGAUGAUAUCAAAUAAUAUUGGAUUUUCUGUCGGUACAAUGGGUUUCUCAUAUACCGUAGCUAAAGUUUGACUGUUUGACUCACUAUACAUGUGUUUUAUCUCCAGGGCUUAGAAGAUGUUUCUAAUGCUUCAUAAAAAACAAAGAUUCUUAUCAAGAAGCACAUGAACACGGAGGCACUACAUGAGUUGAUGAUGAUCAAGGUAUGAUUGUUUUUGUUCUACUAUAAGAAGCACAUGCAUCUUUCAAAUAGCUACAUAUUGAUAACAAAUAAUGGAGAAUAAUGUGAGAUACGUAAAUGUCCCAGAGAGGUUAAAAGUUUUGCAACUUAGUAUAUCAAGAAUAAAUUGUUGAAUAAGAUUGAUAUCAAUACCAUCAUCCCUGAGAUUGCAUCUCGGAAUGUUAGACCCAAAUUUUGAGAUACAUAUAUAAAAAUUAUGUGAUUUUAAAUGCAUUUUAAGCGUUACACGACAACAUUUUUUACGUUUAUGAAUUUAUGUUAAAGGGUCCCGGGUUCUAGUUUCGCCCCGGAUCCCCGAAAUCUCAGGACCGGCCCUGGGUCCAAAUUCAAAUCACUAAAAGGUGCUUUUUAUAAAAAGGCUCAACUUCAACAGAUGAUCUAAAACGAAGAUGUAAAAAAAGAGCAUCUCCAAUAGAUGGUCCAAAACAAAGAUGCAAAACCGACCGACGGCCGCACGACUGCUAUUCAGCCACUUUACAGCCGCGGUUUUGCGUUCAAAUAUCACUUCAAAUUCGAAAUAAAGUGCAUCAUCAUCAUAGUUCAAAUCAUAACAAAAGUGCAUCACCAUCAUUAUAGUUUACAAUCCCUCUACCAAAAGUGCAACGUCCCAAUCAAAGUUUUUUGGCGUACAAAUUAAAAUACACAUGAAUAUCAUUCAUGCGGAACAUCAACACCAUCGACGUUGUGAACUGUGGUACGAUCGUCAUCAUACACAUUUCAUCGAACAUGUUGGAGGCGGUGGCCGUCGGCGUGGCCAAAUCUUCCUCCACGUCCGGCGGUGGCAGCGGUGGAGGUGGGGGAUGUUGGGGAACGUUGCAUGGGAAACAAAAAAAUUCUACGCACACGCAAUACCUGUCCAUGGUGAUGAUCAUCUACUAGAAGGGAGAGUGAAUCUACAUACCCUUAUAGAUCGCUAAGCGGAAGCGUAUAUAUUGCGGUUGAUGUAGUGGAACAUCUUCGCAAUCCAAAUCACAGCCCGUCCCACGAUCUCAUCACGAUUCGUCCCGCGAUCCCAUCACGAUCCUUCCCGAUCUAGUGUCGAACGGACGACACCUCCGCGUUCAGCACACGUACAGCUAGAUGAGGAUGUCCACCUUCUUGAUCGAGCAAGAGGGGACGGAGAGGUAGAUGAGUUCUCCAGCACGACGGCGUGGUGGUGGUGGUGGUACUAUUCCAGCACGGAUUCGCCUAAGCACCAUUGAAACUAGAGGAGAAAUAGAUCUAGAGAGAGAGGGCAACACGUGGCUGUUUUCUAUUUUUUUUCUAAAUCCCUCAAAACCCUUAGUAUAUAUAUAGUAGGAAAGGAGGGAGAGUGUUGCGCCCUAGGGCUGCCCUUUCUUCCCUUGCGCAAGGAGGAGAGGAGGAGUCCUCCUUCAAUCCUAGUAGGAGUAGGCUUCCUCCUUCCCAGUUGGAAACUCUUUCCACCUUGUGUUUUUUCCUUCUCAAACCUUAUGGGCCUUAGUGGAAACUUAUUCCAGCCCACUAGGGGCUGGUUUAUCUCUUCCCAUAUCCCAUGAGGCCCCUUGGGGUGUGACACCCCUGCCGAUGGUCUCCGGCACCCCUCACGGCACUCCCGGUACACUACCGAUCAGCUCGAAACUUUUCCGGUGAUCAAAACAUGACUUCCUAUAUAUCAAUCUUUACCUUCGGACCAUUUCAGAGCUGCUCGUGACGUCCUCGAUCUCAUCCAGGACUCCGAACAACCUUUGGUCACCAACACAUAUAACUCAACUAUACCGAACCUUAAGUGUGCAGACCCUGCGGGUUCGAGAACUAUGCAGACAUGACCUGAGACACUCUCCGGUCAAGAACCAAUAGCGGGACCUGGAUGUACAUAUUGGCUCCCACAUAUUCUACGAAGAUCUCUAUUGGUUGAACCUCUAUGUCAAGGAUUCAGUUAAUCCCGUAUGUUGUUCCCUUUGUCCUUCGGUAUGUUACUUGUUGGGUUACGUAGCAUAAAUUCAAAAUUUUCCUACGCAUAUUCAGAUCUUCCUAUGGAGAGACCAGCAACGAGAGAGGGGUAAGAGCAUCUUCAUACCUUUGAAGAUCGCUAAGCGGAAGGGUUGCUAGAACGCGGUUGAUGGAGUCGUACUCGCAGCGAUUCCGAUCUAGUGCCGAACUACGACACCUCCGCGUUCAACACACGUGCAACCUGGUGACGUCUCCCACACCUUGAUCCAGCAAGGAGGAGGGAGAGGUUGGGGAAGAACUCCAGCAGCACGCGGCGUGGUGUCGAUGGAGAGACGAGGUCUCCCGGCAGGACUUCGCCAAGCACCGGUAGAGAGGAGGAGAAAGAAGAGCAGGGCUGCGCCGAGGGAGAGGGAAAAGUCUAUCUCUCAAUGGCAAAAAGUGCCCGAUAUAUAUAGGGGGAGGGGAGAGGGGGUGCCACCCCUAGGGUUCCCACCCUAGGGGGUGCGGCAGCCCCCCAGAUGGGAGGUGCGGCGGCCAGAGGGGGGAGGAGGGGGUGGCGCACCAUCUGGUGGGCCUUAGGCCCACCUGGCUUAGGGUUUGCCCCCCCCCCUUUUCUCUCCCCUGCGCAUUGGGCUGAGUGGGGAGGCGCACCAGCCCACCUAGGGGUUGGUUCCCACCCCCACUUGGCCCACCUUACCUCCCGGGGUCGUUUCCCCCCUUCGGUGGUCCCGGUGGUCCCGGUGGUCCCACUAUGUUACCGGUGAUGCCCGAAACACUUCCGGUAUCCGAAACCAUCCGUCCUAUAUAUCAAUCUUUACCUCCGGACCAUUCCGGAGCUCCUCGUGACGUCCGGGAUCUCAUCCGGGACUCCGAACAUCUUUCGGUAACCUCGUAUAACAAUUCCCUAUAACCCUAGCAUCAUCGAACCUUAAGUGUGUAGACCCUAUGGGUUCGGGAGACAGGCAGACAUGACCGAGACACCUCUCUGGCCAAUAACCAUCAACGGGGUCUGGAUACCCAUGGUGGCUCCCACUUGCUCCACGAUGAUCUCAUCGGAUGAACCAUGAUGUCAAGGAUUCAAUCAAUCCCGUAUACGAUUCCCUUUGUUUGUCGGUAUAGAACUUGCCCGAGAUUCGAUCGUCGGUAUACCUAUACCUUGUUCAAUCUCGUUAACGGUAAGUCUCUUUACUCGUUUCGUAGCACGUCAUCGUGUGACUAACUCCUUAGUCACAUUGAGCUCAUGAUGAUGUUCUACCGAGUGGGCCCAGAGAUACCUCUCCGUCACACGGAGUGACAAAUCCCGAUCUCGAUUCGUACCAACCCAACAGACACUUUCGGAGGUACCCGUAGUGCACCUUUAUAGUCACCCAGUUACGUUGUGACGUUUGAUACACCCAAAGCACUCCUACGGUAUCCGGGAGUUGCACAAUCUCACGGUCGAAGGAAAAGAUACUUGACAUUAGGAAAGCUUUAGCAUAGGAACAAUGCGAUCUAGUGCUAUGCUUAGGAUUGGGUCUUGUCCAUCACAUCAUUCUCCUAAUGAUGUGAUCCCGUUAUCAAUGACAUCUAAUGCCCAUGAUCAGGAAACCAUGAUCAUCUAUUGACUAACGAGCUAGCCAACUAGAGGCUUGCUAGGGACACAUUGUGAUCUAUUUAUUCACACAUGUAUUACUGUUUCUUGUUAAUACAAUUAUAGCAUGAACAAUAGACGAUUAUCAUGAACAAGGAAAUAUGAUAAUAACCAUUUUAUUAUUGCCUCUAGGGCAUAUUUCCAACAUUACUUGCCCGAGAUUCGAUCGUCGGUAUCUUCAUACCUAGUUCAAUCUCGUCAUCGGCAAGUCUCUUUACUCAUUCCGCAAUAAAAGAUCCCGUAACUAACUCCUUAGUCACAUUGCUUGCAAGGCUUGUUGUGAUGUUGUAUUACUGAGUGGGCCCCGAGAUAUCUCUCCGUCACACGGAGUGACAAGUCCCAGUUUUGAUCCAUGCCAACCUAACAGACACCUGGAGAUACCUGUAGAGCACCUUUAUAGUCACCCAGUUACGUUGCGACGUUUGAUAGCCCACAAGGUAUUCCUCUGGUGUCCGGGAGUUGCAUGAUCUCAUGGUCAUAGGAACCGAUACAUUGACAUGGGGAAAACAGUAACAAUAAACUGACACGAUCAUUUGCUACGUUCAUAAUUUUGGGUCUUGUCCAUCACAUCAUUCUCCCAAUGAUGUGAUCCCGUUAUCAAGUGACAACACUUGUCUAUGGUCAGGAAACCUUGACCAUCUUUGAUCAAUGAGCUAGUCAACUAGAGGCUCACUAGGGACAGUGUGUUGUCUAUGUAUCCACACAUGUAUUUGAGUUUCCAAUCAAUACAAUUCCAGCAUGGAUAAUAAACGAUUAUCAUGAAUAAAGAAAUAUAAUAAUAACCAAUUUAUUAUUGCCUCUAGGUCAUAUUUCCAACAGAGGAAAGGCUCCUUGGCUGGUAGAGGACGUGGCCGGCCCUAGCUGCGAGUCAUCGGCCCGAGCCCGCCGGCUGCCUUUGAGUUUUUGCCCAGCCGUGAUUAGCCAACCGUUUUCAUGCCUUCGGCGCCUUCGCAGGAACCGUCGGUGCAGGGGCAACCGGCCGGGGCGGCGGACGGGUACGGUGACAUGGACGAGGCGGCAGAGGGCGAGUUCGCCGCAACCGUGGCGGCCGACGGGCGGGUCGUGGGCUGGCGGUCGCGAUGCGGGAGGUGAAUGAACUAGCGGUUAGGCGUUGGCGUGGGGACGCGGUUUUUACAUCACUUGUAUCUUGUGAUGUAAAUUUGCAUCAUGCAGUUUUCAUUUUUACAUCACCGGGAGGCCGCAAUUGAUUUUUUUACAUAUGGACCGUUUGUUGGAGCAUUGUUUUUUUCCCAAGACGAUCCAAAAUUUAGGUAUUUUUACAUUUGUAUCAUCUAUUGGAGAUGCUCUUACAAAGGGUUAACUCAACAAAAUAUUCUCUUUUGAGGGGUUAACCGCACCUAGCUGGACGCCUGGACUCCUAUCCGGCUAACUCCUUAAGUAUUUGAGGAGUUAAGCGUGAAAAACUUCUCAAGGCUCUCAUUUUUGAGUGGGCGAGACAAGUUAUCGGCAAAACACCCCCGCUUCCCAACUCCUUCUCGCGACGCAUCCGCUAAUCAGUGUCACAGUCAGAGCCAUCGGAUACCCCCAUUUCGACGGGAAUGACAUGGGAGGGCGCUUCCAUGUCAAGGAAGCACUCGGGACAAAUAGCGUGGUGAGAACCAUCGCACCGUCGAAAAAGGCAAGCCGUAAGGGUAUGCUUUCACGAAGACGAGAGGUUCCCCUCCAUUUGCUCCGGCUGGUGGCAAGCGAGUGAGGAAGCCACCAGUGGCCGACAAGACGCUUAACAAAGUGCCGGCAAAGAAAAGGAAGAAGAUGUGCACGUCGACGCCUUCUCUGUCAUAGCCCUUCUCCAGCAUCCCCUAUCACCUCCUCCUUUAGCGCGUUUGCCCGCGGCGGAGGUCUGCCAACUACUCGACAAAAUGUCAAAAUGCAUGUGGGGUAAUUUGUUUUUCUGCUGUGGAUAUUGGUAGUAAUGUUUUGCAGCGGAUAUCUUGGGACGUGCUUGUGGUUGUUUAUUUUAGUGUGGAGGAGCAGUUGCAAAUUUCAUGUCUCAAUUGGAUUCAUCACACAUAAUCAGCCUUGACGAUCUAGAUUACGAUGGUCCAAGGUAUGCUCAAGAAACAAGAGAGGGAGGAGGAUGAUCAAAAAGUGAAAGAGGUCAAUGAUCCCGUGGAGCCACAAUAAAGCAUUAUGAAGACGAUAUAGAGGGCAGUAGGGCGUUCAGUGGCACCAUACUAGUUGAGUCUCAUCCAAUUUCGUAUUCUAACCCUUCUUUUGACAUGAUUAACAUUUAUGAACAAUACGCGUGUGAGAUUCUUUCCUCUAAAUGGACAUACAAAGAACGUUGCAAUAAUAAUUUGCACUAAAAGAUACUAUAAAAUCAGGAACUGAAGAUGACAGAUUCCAACAAAAGUGUACCCCUUCUUGAAUAUAUAUAGUAACACUAUUCAUCAUCGAGGGUGUAGAAUGAGUUAUUCUUCAUCCGAAGUAAUCUUACGGUUGUUUCAUAAAUAAUUUUUUUUUUACAAAUAGUUAUAUGCAUAUUGUUUCAUUAUAUAAAAUUUGGCAUAAGAAAACAAUUAUAUAUGUCAGAAGACCAGAAAAAAUGCAUUUUAUGUGUAUUUUACACUAUAUUUUUACGUUUGUAACUUUAAAUAGCGUAAAAUAUUUUUAUGACGAUUUAAUAUUUUCUUUAGUUCCUUUUUUGGUAAAAAGUAAGAAAAAAAAGUACGAACAGUAAAAAUACGGUGCAUUGAUGGUAAAAUAGAGGGGACGAAGAAUAACUAUUCCUCACCUAGGAUGACGAAUAGCGCGACUAUUCGUCACAUCAAUGCACCAUAAUUUUAUGUUCUGUUUUUUCUUCAUACGUAAAAAGAGACCGUAACAAGAUAUAUAGUCAUUAUAAAAAAUAUUUUAUGUCACCUAAAAUUACAAACAUAAAAACAUAGUGUAAAAUAUACAUGAAAUGUGAUUUUUUGAUCUUAUGACCUCUAUUUUUAAUUUUUUACAUCAAAUUUUACGUAAUGGAUCAACAUUAAUGAAACUAUUGGUAUUACAAAUGUAAUAUAUGUAUGAAACGGUCGUAAGAUUACCUGGGUGAGGAAUAACUUAUUUUGCACCCUCGGUGAAUCAUUAUUCAGGAUGCAGAAUAGUUUAUUCUUCAUCCGAGAUAUUUGUACGAUCAAUUUACUAAUAAAUUAAGUUUCAAAUACAAAUAAUUAAAUUUAUAUUGAAUCACUAUGUAAAAUUUGACAAAAUCAAAACAAAAGUAUAGGUCACAAGACUAGAAAAAUUUGAAUUUAUUGUAUUUUUUGCACUAUUUUUGUAUGUUCGUAAUUUUACGUGACAUAAAAUAUUUUUACGUUGAUUAUAUUUUUUUUACUGUCUCUUUUUAUGUAUAAAAUAAGACAAAAUUUACGGAACGUAAAAUUACGGUGCAUUGAUGUUAAAAUUAUGGUGAAUUGAUGUUAAAAUUAUAUAUAUACUAGAUUCAUGCAUGUCAGUAAAAUUUAGCGGCACCGUUCUCGUCGUCACCUAUAUUGUUAAGUGGACUAGUUGGACCAUCGCAAUGACGUGUUGGGUCACCCUUGACACGUGUCAGUGGCAUCUCGAACAUGUUGAGAUAUUCGCCUGCUGUCAGUCGGUGGCCACCACCACUCGAGAACAUUUGUGGCGGGUGUCGAGGGCUUAAGUGAUGUGGUCGUGUGGCAAUAGUUUUUUUUAUAGUGAAGUGAGGCGAUCACACACAGGAAAGAGUGGGGUGCAUGUGGGGGAGAAGACGAUAUGGCAACUAUUGAGUUUAGUCCAUAUUGAUUGUGGGAGCAGGCAUAACAGAAUUUAUAAGGGUGUGGGUGUCCCCUCCUAUCACGCAAGCUUUCUUUUUAAACGAAGGGUCCAAGCCCUGAAUUAAGUCUGUGUUCCUCUCUGGUUGGGCCUGGUUACCGCGCUGAGACGCUCGUGGAGGAUGUGGGUCAUGGUAGUUUGGUGGUUCAGAGGAAGAGGAUGAACAAUAAUGAUUUUUGAGGUUGAAGAAGAUGAUCUGGCCAUCCGUAUUGAAUCCAACGGCUCACAACGAUUCGACUGGCCCAAAUUCGAUUUUCGGUCACGUGACAUCUAUCGAUUCCCAUCAUUUUGCACUAAGUGAUGGACUAUGAUUUGCUCAACCAGUCCACUAAACCCAUGCAAUUUAUACACGGCUAGUUACUUUCAAGCCGGCUUAGGUAGCUAGACAUAUUUUUUCUUGUAAUAAAGGAAUACAUUAAUGUCACUACAAGAAAUAUGCCAACUUGUGACAUUCUCUUGGAGACCGUGAAUGAAUUGGUCGUAAGUCUACGACCAUUUUGAUCGAAUUGGUCAUAAGCUAUUUUAGAGGGUUCAAACCCUCAACCAUAACGACCAUUUUUAGGGGAAAGGUCGCAAUUGCCUGGCAUGAAAUGGUCGUAAAGCAGACAACUAGGAUUGACAACCUUAUUUUUAGCAGAAGACGACCAAUCUAGAUGGCCAUAACCAUGUAAAUUGCGGUGUGUUGCUAUGACCGGGCGCCACCUCAUCAAUUUCGCUUGUGUGUCAUGUAUAUGUGUCAUGUUUAUGUGUUAAUUUACGCUUACUUGUCUAGAUCAAAUAUACCAAUGAUGGGUGGAACCCAUGCAUUGACUGGUUAACCUACACCUCAGACCCACCACCACCUUACACGCUGGACCCAGUACAUCUCGGACCCAACACCAACAUACACGUCGGACCCACCCUAUCAUGGGUCCCACCAACCUGACAUGAAAGACCCACCAUUGAACUGACUUGUUGCCCCACCACGGAUGUGACAUGGAGGCUAAACCGGAGAUAGUAGAAAAAUAGGAAAGAAAUAUGCGUUGAUGGGAUUCGAACCCGUGACGCCCUAAGAGCAAGUUCAGGAGUUCCCCCAUACCUUCCCUGGUCAUUUUUUUAAGGGAGAAAGGCAAAAAAACUGCCUCCAACAGUGCCCCGAUCUACUCCGGAUAUUUUGGCCUCCCCGAAAACGUUUCCUCUCUCCCCUCUAUCUAGGGGAACGAGGACCUCCCCGAUCCCCUCCCCGACAUGCCGAGCGAAGCAACUGCCGGCUCCGAAAAGCUCCCUCCCGCCACCACCCCGCCGCCACCACCGCAUUGCAGGUUCGUUCCCUCCUUUGUUUUCUCUCAGAUCUCGGCAAAAAAUAAUAAUCUAGGCUAGGGAGUAAUGGUGAUGUUGGAGAGUGAUGCAGGGGUGCGCAGUCGCCGUGUGAGGAUGGGGAGGCGCUGGAAGGGAGGAGCUGGGCGUUGUUGCUAGAGAUUUGGGCGCUGCUGCUUGCUAGAGUUUUUGCUACCGCUUUGCUAGAGAGAACAGAGAGAGAGAGAGCAGAGAUAUGAGAGAUUGGGAGAUGCACUGUUUGCUGAACAUUAAUUCAGAUAUACAAUGCUUCUUUUUAUAUAUAGAUCAGAGAGAUAACUUGUUGAUUGCUAUAGAUCAGUGAGCUAUUGUACUGCUGAUUGCUGCACAUUUAGAUAUAGAUCACAGAGAUUGCUUGCUACUGAUUUCGGUUGCUAUUGCUAGUAAUUUGCUAGUGAUUGCUGCUGCUAUUUGCUUUCAUUUGUAUUUGCUACUGAUUGCUCCAAGUUAUUUGCUACUCGGAGAUAAAUUUACAUAUCAAUUUGCGAUUGCUUGCUGCAAGUUAUUUCCUACUAGGAGAUGACAUUUAAAUAGCUAUUUGUGACUGCUUGCUGCUAGUUAUUUUCUACUGGUUGUUGAACAUCUAUAUGAUGUAUGGUUUGUUUGUUUUGUUUCAUAUUUUCAUAAUGGACGGUCAGAGUUAUUUGAUCUUUUGCAAAGUGAUGUCGGCUUGAAUGAUUUGCACUGGACUGAAGAAGAACAAAUCGACCUCGAAAAGAAUGAAGAAAAACAAAUUGAUCUUGAAGGGCCUAAAUAAACUAGUCGUUGGUAGUUAUGAAAUAUUCUUAAAAUAUAGAAUAAGGGAGAUGUUUAGGGGAACUAGUGGAGUUGAGCAAUCUUUAGGGGAGAAUCUUUGUAAGUUAGUCCCCUGUUUUGAGAUAUAGGGGAGAAAUUUUUGGGAAACUGUUGGACUUCCCCUAAGAAAACACGGUGGUUUCUUACCACCACGCCACCACCCAAGUAACGAUACGAAACUCCACUCGCUACUUUUAUACGAAACAGUCGCUUCCUGGGCUUGGGCCUAAAUCAUGAGAGAUCUCCCCUUCGCUCCUUCUUUUUCCCCUUUAGCAUUAUGGUCCAUCGAGUGGCACUAUAACAAAUGUGAUAAUCUAUGAUGCACAUUCUGUGACGAUUCAAUGUAAAAACGUGAGGGAAUCAUCUAAAUUUCAAAAAAUAUGACGUUUUUUCACAGAAUCGUCACAAAAUGAGCGUCUUAGAUUAUCGCAUUUGUUGUAGUGUGGGCCAACGGCCCAUGGCCUAUUAGAAGAUCUUUUCUCGUGGGAAAUGUGUGUUUUUUUGUUUUUUUUCUUCUUUACAAUAUUUCGUGAUUUCAGAAAAUCUCCACACAUUUAAAAAAUUUAUUUUGGAAAAAUGCUCGUGAAAUCAUGAAAUGUUCGUCCAUUAAAUAUGUUCAUGAUUUUUGAAAAAUUUGCGUAUUGAAAUAAUGUUCACGGAUUUGACAAACAAAUGGGAAUUCAAAAAAUCAUCACAAUUUUUUCAUAAAAUGUUCAUUGACGUGAAGGUUUAGAUUUUUUUUAUUUUCUUAUUUUAUACCGAUUUUAAAACCAGGUCACAUAUAAUGAUAGAAUACAAAGGCUUUCCAUAUUUUUUGACACAAUGCAAAUGUUCCUUUUUUACAUGGAACCAUUUGGAAAUUUGUACAUGAAAUGUGGUCUAAUAAUUUCGAAAAUGUUCCGGUAUAGUUUUACAACAAAUAUUUGGUAGUUUCUUCACAAAAAGAACUCAUUUUGUGCACUUAAAAAAUCAAAAUUCCCUUUGGCAACAUUGUUUGCCAUUGCAAGAUGCACCCUUGAAACACAUAAAACUUCACACAACAUAGUUCAUUUCUGAGAAGACUUUUAAAAGGUAUUUAUCGUAGUCCAAAUUUUUUAUUUCUCCUCAAAACAAGAUCACAUAUGAUGACACAAUGCGAAGGUUUCCAAUUAUUUUAACUCUUUUUUCUAAUUUCUUAUGUCCGUUUUAAAAUGCGGUCAAAACGACGGGCAUGAUCGUUCGUAGCUAGGGGUUGAAUCUUGGAAAAACUUUUGGUGUCUUUGAUAAAACCUAUAGUUAUGUACCUAUAGUUCAAAGUUGACCCACUUCUUGCAGAAUCGACCGAAAUUUGUAGUUCAAACUUGACCCGCUUCUUGCUGAAUCUAUCGAAAUUUGUCUUUUUCAUGAGAAGUGACUAAAAAAACUCACUUUAGUCACUCGAAUAAUGCAAAAUGAAUUUACCGUCCAAAGAAAAUGAAAACUUUCUUAGGCAACAUUGUUUGCCAUUCCAAAAUGCACGAUAUUAGAUCAUUUGAAUAAACUAUACAUGAAUGUGGCCAUAAGAUUGAUCAUUUGACUUCAAAGCCAUGAAUCUUCAUACAUGAUAACUCAUUUUUUAGAACACAUUUAAAAAAUAUUUACCUUAUUAUAAUUUUAUUAUUUUUCCUAAUAACUUGGUCACGUAUAAUUAGACAAUGCGAAGGUUUUUCAAUUUUUUGAUUUGUUUUUGAAUUUUUCAAGCCCAUUUCAAAAUGUAGUCAAAACGUCGGGCACGAUCGUUCCUAUCUAGUGGUUGAAUCUUGAAAAACUUCUAAUGUUUCUAUGGUUAAAUAGAUACUUGUUUACCUAGAAAUGAUUUUUGGAAAAAAUAAAGAACAAACUAUGACUCAGCCGCCGUUCAAACUUGACCCGCUUUUUACUAAAUUGGCCGAAAUUUAUCCUUUUCACAAGAUGUGGCUUAAAACUUUUGACACUCAACCAUUUGGUCAAUUGUACAUUAAAAAUGUCCUAAUAUUUUAAAAAAUUGAUUUGGUCCAAAAUUGCCACAAUUAUAUGCUAGACCCUUCAUAAAAAACUCAUUUUAGUCACUUGAAAAAUGGAAAAUAAACUGUUCGUUCAAAAAAAAUAGAAAACUUCGUUACACAACAUUGUUUGCCAUUACAAAAUGCACCAUUUUGCACAAUAUUAGAUCAUUUGAACAAGUUAUGCCAUGAAUGUGGCCGUAAGAUUGAUCAUUUGGUUUGAAAGCCUUGAAUCUUCACAAAUGGUAACUCAUUUCCGAGAAUACUUUUUUUAAAAUAAUUUUCGUAUUAUAAUUUUAUUGUUUUUCCUCGUAACUUGGUCACAUUUAAUGACACAAUGGGAAGGUUUUCCAAUUUUUUUAUUUUUUUUAAAUUUUCAUGCCCGUUUCAAAAUGCAGUCAAAACAACGGGCAUGACCGUUCCUAUCUAGUGGUUGAAUCUUGGAAAAGUUUUGAUGUUUCUCUCAUUAAAUAUAUACUUAUGUAUCUAGAAAUGAUUUUUGAAAAAAAUAAAGAGCAAACUACGAGGCAACUGCAGUUCGAAUUUGUCGCGCUUCCAACUAAAUCAGCGGAAAUUUGUCUUUUUCACGAGAGUUGAUCAAAAGUUUUGACACUCAACCAUUUGGUCAAUUGUACAUUAAAUAUGGCCUAAGAUUUUAUUAAAUUGAUUUAGUCCAAAUUUGCAACAAAUAUUUGUUAGGUUCUCCAGAAAAGAACUUCAUUUUGGGCACUUGAAAAAUGGACGAGAGGUGGACGAAAAACUUUUAAGAAGGAAGUAUUUGGUCAAUUUGUACAUAAAACACGGUCGAAUAUUUUUUAAAAUUGUUGCGGUCCAAUUUUUUAACUAAUAUUUGAUAGGUUAUUCACAUAGGUGAAAACAAAAAAGAGAAAGACAAAGAAAGAAAACACAUUUACAUAAGCUUAAUUCUCGUUGGUGGAGAUGUUUGUGCCAUGGAUUGAUGACAUGGCACACAUCCAUCCAUAUAUCCAUCCACCCGCAGCCCAAACCCUAACUCCAAUACUCCCAUCGGUCCCCUCCCCCUCUCCCCCGAUUCAGAUCCAGUCCUCGCUGCCGCCACCUACCUCAAGCCGAUCCUGUCGUCCAUGCCCGCGCGCCAUCACCCGCUCCGCGACCACCACCCGCUCCUCCUUGCCUCCCGGAGGACGCAGACCCCACGUCGCUCUUCCUCCGCCCGCCAACCCACCCCGUCCUGGAGGCCUCACUAGCUUCCUUCCGUCGCAGGGUCACCGCGCUCAUCGCGCCCUCGGUACGCACCUCCACCGCCAUCUUUGCUGGCUCCUCGCCUCCGCCUCCGCCCCCGCUAAUUCCCCGCCCAGCGGCUACCCGGUGGCGCUCCACCUCCUUCGUGCGCCACUCGAUGAGCUCGAGGCCCUGUGGCUAUGCCAUGUUUGGGACAGGUGCCCGUUCCAGUACGUGGUCGGGAACGAGCACUGGAAGGACCUGGUGGUCGCCAUUCGGGACAGUGUACUCAUCGCACGGCCGAAGGCGGAGGCCGUCGUGGACAUGGUCACCACCAUCGAUUGCGAGCUGGAGUCCUGGGCCUUCCCCUCAUCAUCCUCGGCGGCGACAUGUGGAUGAGCCACCGGACGAUAAGCAGCAGAUCAUGUUUGCGCUGACCUCCAUCAAGGGUGUGGGCCGCCACUUCUCCAACAUCAUCUGCAAGAAUGCCGAGAUCGACAUGAACAAGAGGUGAGGAACCGUCCCCCUUUCUCGCCAGAUCUCGUCGUGGUGGGUGGGGGAUGAGUCGUGCACUGUCUUCUGUGUGGUGUGCGGGGCUGAAAAGCUUUCCGCUAAGGAGAUGGUUGUAUGAUGGCGGUGGUGCACAAUUCACGUCAGUUCAAGGUGUUGGACUGGUUCCUGAACAGGAAGAAGGACUAAAAGAAUGGGAGUUUCUCCCAGUUCAUCUCCAAAGCCACCGAAUUGAAGCUCAGGGAUGACCUUGAGAGGCUCAAGAAGAUAACGUAUAAACUCGUCCCCCCUUGUUUGUUUUUGCUUCAUACUGUUGGCUGAUUGAUCGGUGAUUAGGUGCUAGGUUCAACUUGUUAUGAUCCUGUUAACUAACAUCUUGCACAUGCUUUAGUGGUAGAAGUAGUUGAUAUCUCAUCCAAUACUUUACAACCUAGUCUUGGGAUUCACAUAGUGGGUUUCUGGAAGGAGAUCUCCAAACAUUAGAAUGCCUGAAAUGCGUUUAUUCUGUUGUUCUUGAUGGGCGUAGUGUUGUUCUGGUAGGAUGUACUAACUUCAUGUGCUUUAUUCUAUACUCGUUUAUACACACAACAAUGUGGCUAGAGUUUGAUUUUCAGUCGGUAUAGUCUGCUUAUGUGAUACGUCUCCAACGUAUGCAUAAUUUUUGAUGGUUCCAUGCUAUUAUCUUGUCAUCUUUGGAUGUUUUGUAUGCAUGAAUAUGCUAUUUUAUAUCUUUUUUGGGACUAACCUAUUAACUUAGUGCCAAGUGCCAGUUCUUGUGUUUUCUGUGUUUUGACCUUUUUGAGAGGAGAAUAUUGAACGGAGUCCAAAUGGAAUAAAACCUGCGGAAUGAUUUUUUCCAUAAUAGAAGACAUGCAGGAGACUUGAGAACAAAGGAAUGGGAGCUCGGAGGAUGUCACAAGCCACCCAGGCCCGACCUAGGGGGGGCCUAGCAGGCUUGUGGGCCCCCUGUGGCUCCCCUGCCCUAGUUCUUCCGCCUAUAGAUUCCUUAAAAAUCUGAAACCACGGAAGAGAGCCACGAAAAUACUUUUCCGCCGCCGCAAUCUUCUGUCUUCGCAAGAUCCCAUCCGGGGCACGUUCUGGUGCCCUGUAGGAGGGGGGAUUCGAACACGGAGGGCUUCUUCAUCAACACCAUUGCCUCUCCGAUGAUGCGUGAGUAGUUCACCACAGACCUUUGGGUCCAUAGCUAGUAGCUAGAUGGCUUCUUCUCUCUCUUGGAUCUUCAAUACAAAGUUCUCCAUGAUCUUCAUGGAGAUCUAUCCGAUGUAAUCUUAUUUUGCGGUGUGUUUGUCGAGAUCCGAUGAAUUGUGGAUUUAUGAUCAGAUUAUCUAUGAAUGUUAUUUGAGUCUCCUCUGAUCUCUUAUAUGCAUGAUUUUGUAUCCUUGUAAUUCUCUUCGAGUUGUGGGUUUAGUUUGGCCAACUUGAUCUAUAGUUCCUGCAAUGGGAGAACUGCUUGGUUUUGGGUUCAUACCGUGCGGUGAUCUCACCCAGUGACAGAAGGGGUAGCGAGGCACAUAUCGUGUUGUUGCCAUCAAGGGUAAAAUAUGGGGUUUAUAUCUAUUGCAUGAAUUUAUCCCUCUACAUCAUGUCAUCUUGCUUAAGGCGUUACUCCGUUUGUCAUGAACUUAAUACACUAGAUGCAUGCUGGAUAGUGGUUGAUGUGUGGAGUAAUAAUAGUAGAUGCAGAAAGUAUCGGUCUACUUGUCUCGGACAUGAUGCCUAUAUGUAUGAUCAUUGCCUUAGAUAUCAUCAUGACUUUGCGCGGUUCUAUCAAUUGCUCGAUAGUAAUUCGUUCACCCACCGUAAUACUUGCUAUCAUGAGAGAAGCCUCUAGUGAACACUAUGGCCCCCGGGUCUACUUCACAUCAUAUUUUCAGCUUUACACUUUUAGUUUGUUGCACUUUCCACCUUCAGAUCUCACCUUCUAGUUAACCGUGAAGGGAUUGACAACCCCUUUGUAGCGUUGGGUGCAAGUUUGCUUGUUUUUGCGCAGGUACUUUGGAGACUUGCCUUGAUAGUCCUACUGGAUUGAUACCUUGGUUCUCAAACUGAGGGAAAUACUUACUGCUACUGCGCUGCAUAACCCUUUACUCUUCAAGGGAAAAACCAACGCAAGAUCAAGAGGUAGCAUUAUGUUACUCUUUGGUUGGAGGCAAUUAGAAUGUUGUAGGUUUAGUAUGAACGUGUCUUAAUCCAUUGGAUGCCCUUGGCUAGUUUAGUUGGUAUCUAAUCUAAAAUAAUUUAUUUUCCCAUUUUUUGUUUCCUUGCUAGACAUGUCAUGGUACAAGUGCCGGUGCCGAUGUUUACUACCCCCGCCGUAAAGAAAUAUAAGAGCGUUUAGAUCACUACUUUAGUGAUCUAAAUUCUCUUAUAUUUCUUUACACAGGGAGUACAUGGUAUUAUUGUUAGCUAUAUAUAUACCUCAUACGUCUCCAUCGUAUCUUCUUUUCCAAACUCUUUUGCCCUUGUUUUGGACUCUAAUUAGCAUGAUUUGAGUGGAUCUAACCCGGACUAACGAUGUUUUCACCACAACUGCCAUGGUGUUGUUUUUGUGUAAAAAUAAAAGUUCUCGCAAUGACCGGGAAACUUAUGAGGAUUUUUUGUGGAAUAUAUAAAAAAUAUUGGCGGAAGAAUUACCUGAAGACAUGGAGCCAGGGGCCCACAAGCCCAGGAGGUGCACCCCCCUAGGGCGGGCCUGGCAGGCUUGUGGGGCCCACGUAGCUCCGCAGCCUCCAACUCCAACUCUAUAAAGUCUCUCUUGCCUAGGAAAAAUUAAGAGAGAAGAGUUCAUCGCGUUUCACGACACGGGGCCGCCGCCACCACCUGUUCUUCCUCGGGAGGGCAGAUCUGGAGUCCGAUCUGGGCUCCGGAGAGGGGAAAUCGACGUCGUCGUCAUCGCCAACCAUCCUUCAUCGCCAAUUCCAUGACGCUCUUCACCGUUCGUGAGUAAUCUCAUCAUAGGCUUGCUGGAUGGUGAUGGGUUGGAUGAGAUCUAUCAUGUAAUCGAGUUAGUUUUGAUGGGGUUUGAUCCCUAGUAUCCACUAUGUUCUAAGAUUGAUGUUGCUACUACUUUGCUAUGCUUAAUGCUUGUCACUAGGGCCCGAGUGCCAUGAUUUCAGAUCUGAACCUAUUAUGUUUUCAUCAAUAUAUGUGUGUUCUUGAUCCUAUAUUGCAAGUUGUAGUCACCUACUAUGUGUUAUGACCCGACAACCCCGGAGCGACAAUAGCCGGAACCACUUCCGGAGAUGGCCAUAGUAUGAGGAGUUCAUGUAUUCACUAUGUGCUAAUGCUUUGUUCCGGUUCUCUAUUAAAAGGAGACCUUAAUAUCCCUUAGUUUCCGUUAGUACACCGCUGCCACGGGAGGGAUGGACAAAAGAUGUCAUGCAAGUUCUUUUCCAUAAGCACGUAUGACUAAAUACAGAAUACAUGCCUACAUUACAUUGAUGAACUGGAGCUAGUUACAUAUCACCCUAUGUUAUAACUAUUACAUGAUGAAUGUCAUCCGACAUAAUUAUCCAUCACCGAUCCAAUACCUACGAGCUUUUCCUAUACCGGUCCAUGCUAAAUUACUUUACCGCUACUGCUGUCACUACGGCUGCUGUUACUGCUGCUACCGUUACUAUCACACUACUUUUCUACUAAAACUUUGCUGCAGAUACUAAGUCUUGCAGGUCUGGUUGAAUUGACAACUCAACUGCUAAUACUCAAGAAUAUUCUUUGGCUUCCCUUGUGUCUAAUCAAUAAAUUUGGGUUGAAUACUGUACCCUCGAAAAUUGUUGCGAUCCCCUAUACUUGUGGGUUAUCAAGACCUUUUUGUGGCACCGUCGCCGGGGAGCAUAGCUCUAUUCUCUGAGUCACUUGGGAUUUACGUCUGUUGAUCACUAUGAGGAAUCCGAGAGAUCCAAAAACUAAAGUCUUGCCCUCAACUACGAGGACAGGUAAGGAACUGCCAUCUAGCUCUGCACUUGAUUCACCUUCAGUUAUGAGUAAAUUUGCGACACCACCAACUAUUGGUAAUUCUGAUAUGUCGCAUGUGCUUGAUGAUGCUGCUUCUGCUAUCCAUGAUUCUUAUGAUGAUGCUUUGCUUGAUAAUGAGAUGACACUAGGUGCAUUUCUUGAUGCACAAAUUGCUAGAGUUACUGAUGAAUGUGAUGAUACUUCUGAAACUGAUGAAAUUAUUGAAGUGGAACCUGCUGUUACACCUGUUAGACCUAGCUCUCCCAGAUAUGAAUUGCCUGAUAUACCUAAGGGUUAUGUUAUGGAGGGAGAGGUAGCUGAAGGCUUUCUUGCUUGUAAGGAUAGCUAUGAUCUUGAGAAUUUAUUACGUAAGUGGAAAGAAAAAUCUCUGAAUGCUUGAAUGAAAUAUGAUCCUAAGUUUGCUACUUCGCCCAUCUUUGUUACUGAUAAGGAUUAUGAAUUCUCUGUUAAUCACUUUGGUUGAAUCUGAUCCUUUUCAUGGUUAUGAGUCUGAAACGGUUGUAGCACAUCUUAGCAAACUGAAUGAUAUAGCCACCCUAUUCACGAAUGAGGAAAAAAAGUUCUCCAUUACUAUAUCCUUAAGUUGUUUCCUUUCUCACUAAAGGGUGAUGCUAAAACUUGGUUUACUUCUCUUUCUCCUGGUUGUGUGCGUAGUCCCCAGGAUAUGAUAUACUACUUCUCUGAGAAAUAUUUUCCUGCCCAUAAGAAACAAGCUGCCUUAAAGGAUAUAUAUAACUUUGUGCAAGUUGAAGAAGAGAGUCUCCCACAAGCUUGGGGGGGGGGGCUUGUCCAGUUACUGAAUGCUUUGCCUGAUCACCCUCUUGAGAAAAAUGAAAUACUUGAUAUCUUUUAUAAUGGACUAACCGAUGCUUCUAGGGAUCACCUAGAUAGUUGUGUUGGUUGUGUUUUCAGGGAAAGAACUAUGGAACAAGCUGAAAUUCUAUUGAAUAAUAGCUUGAGCAAUGAUAAUGCUUGGACUAUUCCCGAACCACCUCCGAAGCCAAGAGGUAUUCUAUUCCUCAGUCCUGAAGAUAUGCAAGAAGCCAAGAAAUCUAUGCAAGAGAAAGGUAUUAAAUCUGAAGAUGUUAAGAAACUACCACCUAUUGAAGAAAUACAUGGUCUUGAUAACCCGACACAGGUAGUAGAGGUAAAUUCUCUUCGUAGAUUCAAUGAGAGUGAUAUUCCAUAUGAUAAACCUGCUAGCUUAUGCUUAGAUGAAUUUGAUAACUUUGUUGUCAAACAACAAAGUUUUAAUGAUUAUGUUAGCAGACAAUUGAAACAAAAUGCUCGUAUGAUUAAUCAUAUAAGUGCUUGUGUGGAUAGAAAUGUCAAUGAUCUUAAGCUUUUGGGAAAACAUGCUUCUAUGGUCACUACUCAAGUAGAACAAGUACUUAAGGCUCAAAAUGACUUGCUUAAUGAGUUGAAUGACAAUUCUGUUAGAGUUGUCACUAGAGGUUGUAGAAUGACUCAGGAACCUUUGUAGCCUGAGGGCCAUCCUAAGAGAAUUGAACAAGAUUCUCAAGGAGUUAACACUCAUGCACCUAGUCAUCCUGGUAACAGGAAGAAAAUAAAGAUGAUAGGAACUUGCAUGCUAGCAAACCUGUUGCCGUUACACCCGAGAAUCCAAAUGAUGUCUCUAUUUGUGAUGCCGAAACACAAUCUGGUGAUGAACAUGAGCCUAGUGAUAAUAUUGAUAAUGGUGUUCAUGUUGAUACUCAACCUAGUAAUGAUAAGGAUGUGGAGAUUGAACCUGUUGUUGAUCUUGAUAACCCACAACCUAAGAACAAGCUAUAUGAUAAGAACGACUUUAUUGCUAGGAAGCAUGGUAAAGAAAGAGAACCAUGGGUUCAGAAACCCAUGCCCUUUCCUCCCAAACCAUCCAAGAAAAAGGAUGAUGAGGAUUUUGAGUGCUUUUUUGAAAUGAUUAGACCUGUCUUUUUGCAAAUGUGUUUGGCUGAUAUGCUUAAAAUGUCUCCUUAUGCUAAGUACAUGAAAGAUAUCGUGACUAAUAAAAGGAAGAUACCUGAGGUUGAGAUUUCCACCAUGCUUGCUAAUUACACCUUCAAGGGUGGGACUCCUAAGAAACUAGGUGAUCCCGGAGUGCCCACUAUACCUUGCUCCAAUAAAGGAAAUUAUGUUAGAACUGCUUUAUGCGACCUUGGAGCCGGUGUUAGUGUUAUGCCUCUCUCUUUAUAUCGCAGACUUGAAUUGGAUAAGUUGACACCUACUGAAAUGUCUUUGCAAAUGGACGACAAAUCAACUGGUUUUCCUAUCGGCAUUUGCGAGGAUGUGCUUGUUGUGGUUGCGAACGUUACUAUCUUAACGGACUGUGUUAUUCUGGAUAUUCCCGAGGAUGAUGCCAUGUCGGUCAUCCUUGGAAGAUCCUUUCUAAACACUGCAGGGGCUGUUAUUAAUUGCAACAAAGGCAAUGUCACUUUCCAUGUUAAUGGUAAUGAGCACAUGGUGCACUUUCCGAAGAAACAAUAUCGAGUUCAUUUCAUCAAUGCUAUUGAAAAAUCUUCAUCCAUUAUUAUUGGAGGCUUUGAUUGCCCUAUACCUACUAUCAAGAUGAAAUAUGAUUUACUUGUUGGGGAUAUGCACAUCCCCGUUGAGGUAACCUAGUGAUUAUUCGAAAAUUCUCCGUUUUUAUGUGUUUCGAAAAAAGUUUGUCAAGGAGACUUGAUCAACCUCAUUGACGGAUUUCUGUUGAUGACCAUGAGAUGGAUGAAUCUAGGAGUCACAACCUUCUGUUCCCAACUUUUACUUUCUGUUGUUUAGAAGAAAAAUAAUAAUUUUAGCUUUAUUUUCCUAUUUUCCGCGUUUUCCGUUCAAUAGAAAAGUGACCCGAAAAUAAAAGUUCUCCAAAUGCCCUGAAAUUCAAGUAUGAUUUUUUCUGGAAUAUUUGAAAAUUUCUGAGAUAGAUAACUAGUCACGGGGAUGCACCAGUGGGCCACAAGCCCAGGAGGCGCGCCCACCCCCCUGGGCGCGCCUGGCAGGCUUGUGGGUCCCACAUGACCCCCCUCCACUUAUUCCAGCUCCCAUCUCCUUCGUCUACCUCCAGAAAAAUUAUUCCACUGCUCAAACCCGUGUUCUUGCUCUUUGUGCUGCAUUUUUCAAUCUCCUUGUGCAAAGCUCCAUACACCAAACUGUUUUGGGGAAUUUUUCCUUGGUAUGUGACUCCUCCAUCGAUCCAAUUAGUUUUUGUUCUAGUGCUUUAUUCGUUGCAUAUUUUUGCUGCCUUGGUGACCCCGUUCUUGAGCUUUGCAUGUUAAUUUUAGUUGGUCCCAAGUAGUUUUGAUGCAUGAUAUGGCCUCUAGGAACUUGUAGGAGUAGUUGCUAUGAGUUUUGUUGAGCCUUGUUCACUUUUCUUUUGAGUCACUAAAAAUUUCAAAAAAAGAAGAUGUUCACGAAAAACUAUCAUGGUGGUUCCUCAAGCAAAAGGGGUCCCCGUCUCACGAUUCGGGAGCCCGAUCCUUAUCAGCCGAGGAACGCACAGGUGCAACCAUGUGAAUGGCCUUCCGAUGACUUUAUGAUUGAUGCAGGUUUCAAGGACGAGUUUGAUACUUUUGUUCACAACGCCGGGCUCAAAGAAUUCAUCUCCAAUAAAUGUGAACAGUAUACUACACUCACCGCCUCUUUUGUUCGUAGAUUCAAAUUUUCAGUUGGCCGUGACACAUCCAUACUGUUUGAUCUUUAUGAAAAAUCGUAUACCAUGGAUUUAGAGGAUUUUAAUAGAAUUUGCAAGAUACUUGAUUGGGGUAGUCCCAAUGACCCUCCUAAAUAUUUGGUUAGAGAUUUUAUUUCUAGUAUAAUUGUUGGAGAAACUAGAGAUAUUACGCAGGCUACCAUGGGGAGCAUUCAUUUUCCUGCCUUACAUUAUUUUGCCCUCUUCAUAGGUAUAUGCAUUAACGGCAAGCAUGAGCAUAGUCACCUCUGCGCACCUAACCUUAGUAUUCUUAAGAGCGCAGUAACGAGUGAUAGAAGUUUCAACAUGGGAGCUAUAAUUGCGAGGAGGCUAAAUAGUAAUGCUAAUGAAGGGGAUUUCUUUGGUGGGAUCUAUGCCACUCGCAUAGGAAAUUUUCUUCGAAUACCCAUCCGCACAGGAGAUCCCCCGGUCCAUACAGCUUUCCUUGAUCACGCCGCUAUGAGACAUUAUCAGUUCCUUGAGAGGGAUAAUGAAUCCCUCCUAUACCGGUUAAUAUUUAACUGACAACGCGUUUUCCAUAUUACCCUUCCUGCUCCUGCCUUCUUUGACUUUCAGGGAAAACAGAGAUAUUACAUAACCAGAGGAGAGGCAGAGGAGUAUGAGAGGGAGGUGAAGGUUGCUCGCCUCCGUGAGGCAGCUAUUCAGGCGGUAGCUGCCACGUUCCCGUACAACCCCCAUUAUGAUUUUGGAUAUCGCCCGGACCAGCCGUGGGAGUAGACCAACUUAGGCCAAAAUCCUAAGCUUGGGGAGUACGUGUCUCUCACCGACUUUAUAUUCAUGCUCACACAUUCACUUUGAUAGUCGGUGUUCACACUUUGCCAUUGUAUCAUCCAUGCUAGUUUAUUUCUUUUUCUCGCUUUCUUCUUGUGUGUAAGAAAAAUUAGUUGUAAGUUUACUUUCCAGCUUGCUUAGUGGUAAUUAAAAAGAAAACCCAAAAAGAUUUCCCGUUCUUCUUUUUCUUGUUGGGAGCUUUUCCGUGUAAAUAGUUUUCUUUUUCUUUGGGUCAAGGUAGAAUAUCAUGAUUAAAAUGUUUAGUGGCUCUCAUAUGCAUAAUUGUUUAUCCGUCAGAGAGCCCGUAUUACUUUGUCUUCUCCUCUAAGUUUGCUUGCAGAUUCCAGCUUAGUCCAAUGCAGGAACACUCUCAUUAUUAUUCACUUCAUUCGGUCGUGCAAGUGAAAGGCAAUAAUGACGAUAUAUGAUGAAGUGACUGAGCCUGGAAAAGCUGGUAUGAACUCGACCUAUUUUGUUUUUGUAAAUAUGACUAGCUCAUCGUUCCUAAUUCAGCAUUGUUAUGAGAGAAACAUGUUUGCAAUGACAACUUAGAGAUCAUAGCUUCUGAUGCCAUGCUUAAUUAUCUAGGAGCUUAUAAUGGUUUGUCUUGGAUGCCAACAUGAAUUUCAAAAUGAUUAUGAUGCAGUAUGAUAAAAUGGUAUCCUCCUUUGAAUGAUUCAAGUGGCUUGACUUGGCAAAUGUUCACGCAUGUAGUUGAAACAAAAUCAACAUAGCCUCUAUGAUAUUCAUGUUUAUGGUGAUUUAUAUCCUACUCAUGCUUGCACUCAACAUUGGUUAAUUUCAAUGCAUAUUAAUGACUGUUGUCCCUCUCUAGUUGGUCGCUUCCCAGUCUUUUGCUAGCCUUCACUUGUACUAAGUACGAAUACUGCUUGUGCAUCCACUUCCAUAAACCCAAAGUUGUUCCAUAUGCGUCCACCAUACCUACCUAUAUGCGGUAUCUACCUGCCGUUCCAAGUAAAUUUGCAUGUGCCAGUCUCUAAACCUUCAAAUAAUAAUCUGUUUUGUAUGCCCGAACCGCUCAUGUGGUGACAAGGGGCGGUCAGUAUCUUCCAUGCUAGGCGUGUUAUCCUUGAUACGUGUUUAUUCACUAUCACUCACGAGAAAGGGGACGGUAAUCGGAAUGCCCAGUUCCAUGCUCAAGUCGAAAAUAUAAUUGCAAACAAAACUCCCCUGGAUUGUUGUUGGUAUGGACGGCAACCGAGGAUUCGGCUAGUCGUGGAGUGUGAUUGAUCGGUGGUGGGGGAGUCAAAACUUUACUUUUCUGUUUGGGAACCGCCUAUAAUAUGUGUAGCAUGGAAGAUGGUGAAAACUCUUGGUCAUCGCGUUGACAACGAAAGCAUGCCACCCAAAAUUAUUUAUCUCUGUUUUAAAAAGCUUGAGCUCUCGCAGCUCUGCAAAUCAAUGCUUCCCUCUGCGAAGGGCCUAUCUAUUUACGUUUCUGUUGAGUCAUCCUCUUCUUAUUAAAAAGCACCAUUAGAGAGCACCUCCGUCAUUUUUAUGCUUUGCUAUUAAUUGAUAUUGAGUAUGACUGCGACUGGAUCUUCUUUGCAAUGAAUUACAAUGUUCAGUCAGCCCUUGGUCUUUGAAGGUGCUCUGCAUUUAUGUUUUGCAGUCUCAGAAAGGGCUAGCGAGACACCAUCUGUUCAUAUUGUAUUAUGAUUGUUUUGAAUGAAGUGUUGAUGUUUGAAACUUAUUAUUAUUGCUCGCUAGUUGAUUAUGCCAUUGAUAUGAGUACAUCAUGAGACCUAAAUGUUAUUGCUUAUGUGGUUAGCUUAUGAUGUUGCUGAAAAUCCGAAUAUGAGUUAGACAUAAUUACUACAACAAGGUCAAACAGAGUUCGUAAAAGUUGUUCUUUUGUCUCUUUCAGUUUGUCAACUGAAUUGCUUGAGGACAAACAAGGCUUUAAGCUUGGGGGAGUUGAUACGUCUCCAUCGUAUCUACUUUUCCAAACUCUUUUGCCCUUGUUUUGGACUCUAAUUUGCAUGAUUUGAAUGAAACUAACCCGGACUAACGCUGUUUUCAGCAGAACUGCCUAGGUGUUGUUUUUGUGCAGAAAUAAAAGUUCUCGGAAUGACCUGGAAACUUACAAGGAUUUUUUGUGGAAUAUAUAAAAAAUACUGACGCAAGAAUUACCUGAAGACACGGAGCCAGGGGCCCACAAGCCCAGGAGGCGUGCCCCCCCCCUAGGGCGCGCCUGACAGGCUUGUGGGGCCCACAUAUCUCCGCAGCCUCCAACUCCAAGUCUAUAAAGUCUCUCUUGCCCAGGAAAAAUUAAGAGAGAAGAGUUCAUCGUGUUUCACAACACGGAGCCGCCGCCACCACCUGUUCUUUCUCGGGAGGGAAGAUCUGGAGUCCGUUCUGGGCUCCAAAGAGGGGAAAUCGACGUCGUCGUCAUCACCAAUUCCAUGAUGCUCUUCACCGUUCGUGAGUAAUCUCAUCGUAGGCUUGCUGGACGGUGAUGGGUUGGAUGAGAUCUAUCAUGUAAUCGAGUUAGUUUUGAUGGGGUUUGAUCCCUAGUAUCCACUAUGUUCUAAGAUUGAUGUUGCUACUACUUUGCUAUGCUUAAUGCUUGUCACUAGGGCCCGAGUGCCAUGAUUUCAGAUCUAAACCUAUUAUGUUUUCAUCAAUAUAUGUGUGUUCUUGAUCCUAUCUUGCAAGUUGUAGUCACCUACUAUGUGUUAUGACCCGGCAACCCCGGAGUGACAAUAGCCGGAACCACUCCCGGAGAUGACCAUAGUAUGAGGAGUUCAUGUAUUCACUAUGUGCUAAUGCUUUGUUCCGGUUCUCUAUUAAAAGGAGACCUUAAUAUCCCUUAGUUUCCAUUAGGACCCCGCUGCCACGGGAGGGAUGGACAAAAGAUGUCAUGCAAGUUCUUUUCCAUAAGCACGUAUGACUAAAUACGGAAUACAUGCCUACAUUACAUUGACGAACUGGAGCUAGUUACAUAUCACCCUAUGUUAUAACUGUUACAUGAUGAAUGUCAUCCGAAGUAAUUAUCCAUCACCGAUCCAAUGCCUACGAGCUUUUCCUAUACCGGUCCUUGCUAAGUUACUUUACCGCUACUGCUGUCACUACUGCUACUGUUACUGCUGCUACAGUUACUAUCACACUACUUUGCUACAUAUACUAAGUCUUUCAGGUGUGGUUGAAUUGACAACUCAACUGCUAAUACUCGAGAAUAUUCUUUGGCUCUCCUUGUGUCGAAUCAAUAAAUUUGGGUUGAAUACUGUAUCCUCGAAAACUGUUUCGAUCCCCUAUACUUGUGGGUUAUCAAGAAUACCCGCCCUGAGUCAUGCUCUUGUGGUUAGGAUUCUACUCCUCUAAGUGAUGCUUUUGCAUGCCUUUCCUUCCUCACGCACCUACAAACUAUUCGCUAUUUCCUUCCGCGAUAAUGUGAGCAGUUUUGAAAUUUCUGUAAAGUGGACCCAAUGUGUGAGAUGAUGACAACUGGGACCCAUCUGAUUGGUGGGACAACUCCAAAAUAUAAUGGCCCAAACAAUGUUAAAAGGCCAUGACCUAGAAAUAAAUAAAGGCUGAAUUGUAGGGUUUGGCCUAUGUAGCUAACCCAAAUUGGCAAGAAAAAAAUAUGAAUGGGUUGAAUUGUUAGGCUCGGCUCAUGUAAAGUAGUGAAAUGGACCGAGCUGAUUCUUAUCAACGACCAAUUCUAUUGGUUGCAAUUUUGCCGCGAUUUUGCUACAUCAGCUUGCCACGUUGGAUCCGAUGUGGCCUGGGCAGACAACUAGUGGCCAAAACAAAAGGUCAUAGGACCAACGACCUUUUGUUUUGGUCGUUGCUUUCUACGACCAUAUCACAAAGAAGGUCGUUAAGUUUCAUUAAAGAUGGUUAGUUUUUGACCAACUGUUUUUUAGCAUAAAAAGAUCGCAAAUGAAAAACAAUGUUCAUUCAGCGACCAAUAGUGAUGGUCGCAAGUUGACAUAUUUCUUGUAGUGUGUAGCAGAGAUAUCAGACACACAACCUCUGCAACAUCGAAAUGUCCUAAAGACAUUAAGAAUGCACACAACCCAAAAAGAAAAGGAAAACAAGAUUUUUUUUUGCUACAAGAUGAAUUCCUUGUAACUAGCGAUAUGAUCCACAAGCUAAGACAAGUCGUAGCUGUGAGGAAACAAAGUGGAACAAUAUGUGAAGGUCGCAUGGACUUUUCCGCAAAAAAAAAAAGUCGCAUGGACUAAUCAAGGACAGAACAAUUAAUGGGUGGCCACGCUGCUUGUUAAGUGUAAACUAAUGUCUAUGUUUGUAUACGCCUAGCACCAAAUUAACAACCCCGCACUAGACAGUGACAUGUUAUCUCCAUUAUAUUUGUAUACAUUGCUUGAUUGGUUCCAUACAUGCAUCUUGAGAAAAGAAGAAUGCUUUUGUUAAUAAUAUGGUCGGAGAUAAUGAAUAAUCAAGCUGUGAUAUCCAAUGCAAGUUGGAUAUACUUAAGGGACGGGUCUAGAAUUGUUAGAGUUUAAUUAGUUAAUGUAAUUAGUUAACUUAAUCUUUACUUGUAACUGCACGUGGGCAUCUCCACGACCGAACCAACACUUCGUUCGUGGAGCGACGCCUCCACGAACCGCCUCCUCGUACCGUCGCUUUUUUUGGAAGCGACUGUUCCCCAUGUAUAUAUAUGUUCAUUCAUCAAUGAGAAACAGAGUUUGAUUACAUUUCUUCACACGUUAUCAGCACGUAGCCUACCGACAGAGCACCGGAGACGAAGAGAAAAGGUGAGAUGGCAGGGAUGAACCUGCACAGAAUCACCUCCGCCCUCGUUCGUUUCUUUAGAAGAGAAAUCCAUCGAUCUGCAAGAAGCCAGGGUCUUGGAGUUCAUCGCCAUUGGGGCUCUGGCAACGGCCGCCGUGGCUGCUGUGGUCGUCGUGGGCGUCGUGGUCACCACGACCACCAUGGAUCUGCAGCAGCAGGACCAAGCCACCCACCCAUGGCCGUCCACCAUGCCUACCAGGCACCUCCAAUGUCGGACUUCGUCGCCCCGCCGGCCUUUGUCGCUCCAGUCAUGGAUUGGCAACUGGAAUACACAGGGGGGAUCUUCUGUCCUGUGCAUAGAUACGGGCCAUGCCCUUCAAACCCGGCCAAUCCACCACUGGAAUCAGAGAUCGACGGAGGGGACACUUACCCGGAUCUCCCAACACCGACGCCUGCCGACGAAGAUCCCCUUGCCGCCUCCAGGCUAUGGCCCUGUUCCGGCCAUGGCCAAGUGGGAGGUGAUCCUGACGGAGAUGGCCGAAGCCAGCGCCCCAUCGGAGGCGGCCGAAGCCUGCGGUCCAUCGGAGGCGACCGAAGCCAGCGCUCCAUCGGAGGCGGUCGAAGCCAACGCACCGACGGAGGCGACCGGAUCCGGCGCCACCAUCCCCGCAUCUCCGCCGCCUUCGCCCCAAGCCCGCCCUCGGACGCCACCAGCGGCGGCUCGCCGGAUCCUUUGCCGAUUUGCUGCAGCACUAGAGCAGCACCGCCCCGGCCUCCGCUCCGCUCCUGGGCUCACGCCGGCAUCCACCUCCCUGGCUACGACGCGGCAGCCGUAGCCCCGUCCUCUCCCUGAGCGCUGCCGACGAGGGGCGCCAUCGGCGGCGGAUGUUGCGGGACGUCGUGGAGGUGGCUGUGGAACGGGGGAAUUCAAGGCGAUAUUUGUGGUCCUAUCCAACCAUUAUCUGGACCUUUUAGGUAUUUCAUGGUUCUAAUUGACGCAUCUACACGAUGGUCUCACGUGUGUCUAUUAUCCACACGAAACCAUGCAUUUUCCAAAAUAAUGAGACAAGUAAUUAAAUUACAAGCUCAUUAUCCUGAAAAUCGGAUUAAGUCAAUUCGAAUGGACAACGCUGCUAAAUUUUCCUCACGUGCCUUCAAUGAUUAUUGCAUGGCCCUAGGAAUCGAAGUUCAGCACUCGGUCCCAUAUGUCCAGACACAAAAUGGAUUGGAAGAGUCCCUAAUUAAGAGAAUUAAGCUCAUUGCACGGCCCUUGCUAAUGAAUUGCAACUUACCAACUUCAUGUUGGGGUCACGCAGUUUUACACGCUGCUGACUUAAUUCAAUUGCGACCAACUGCAUAUCACAACACUUCCCCUCUGCAAUUAGUACGUGGAAACCUACCAAAUAUUUUCCAUCUGCGUAAAUUCGGAUGCGCCACAUAUGUGCCCAUCUCACCACCGCAGCGUACAUCCAUGGGCCCACAUUGGAAAUUGGGGAUCUAUGUGGGGUGCAAAUCACCGUCGAUAAUCAAGUACCUUGAACCCCUCACUGGGGAUCUAUUCCCAGCCCGUCACGCUGACUGCAUCUUUAAUGAGGAAUAUUUCCCGGCAUUAGGGGGAGACAUCAAGUACCAAAAGAAUGCCCGGAAAUCUAUUGGAAUGCCCAAGACAUUUCCUCCUCUGAUCCACGUACUCAAGAAACUGAACUUCAAGUUCGGAAAAUAAUUAAUUUGCAACAUAUUGCAAAUAACCUGCCAGAUUCAUUUACUGACUAUAAAGGUGUUACAAAAUCCUACAAUCCUGCCAGAAAUGCGCCCGAAAGAGUGGAGGUACCAACAAAAACCACUCAACCCCCUGUUCAAAGGAAGAGGGGGAGAAAUAGGGGGAGAAAUACGGCCACAGAACAGGAUUCAACUUCUCGCAAACAAAAAAGGAAACAGAGGAAGAAACCCCGUGAACCAGUAAAUGUAAAUCAACCUAGCGUUGAUAAUCAUCAAAUGGGUAAUGAACACCCAGUGGAAGAACGGCCUCCACAACCCAGCUCAGUUGUGCACUCAAUGACUAGGACAUCGGAAAACCCUGACUCAAUCGUAUUGGGAAAUCACGACCAGUCAACAUGGGUAAAUGAAAUUUCCACCAACUAUAUGGAUUCUGGAGAAUGUUACAAUCGUAAGUCUACUAUUGUCGACAUAUAUUUCUCAACUACAGUUGCAGACUACCUUCUAAAUGAUCAUGAUCCAAAGACCAUGGCAGAGUGCAAGAAACGCUCCGACUGGCCUAAAUGGAAGGAUGCAAUCCAGGUAGAGUUAGCCUCGCUCAAUAAACGAAAGGUAUUCACUGAAGCAAUACCUACACCUCCCAGAGUUUUCCCUGUGGGAUUCAAAUGGGUUUUCGUCCGUAAAAGAAACGAGAACAACGAGAUGGUGAGAUAUAAAGCAAGGCUUGUAGCCCAAGGUUUCACGCAGAGACCAGGCAUUGAUUGCAAUGAAACAUACUCUCCAGUAAUGAGUGGUAUUACUUUCCGAUACCUUAUUUCUAUGGCAGUACAAAAUCGUCUACCUAUGCAGUUGAUGGACGUAGUGACCGCCUAUCUUUACGGUUCACUUGAUUCGUACAUAUGCAUGAAGGUUCCUGAUGGAGUUCCAAUCCCGAAUCCAAACGCAACGCAUAUUGUGUAAAACUAAACAAGUCUUUAUACGGCUUAAAACAGUGGGGUCGCAUGUGGUACAACCGACUUAGUGAGUUCUUUUUGAAAAAAGAUACUCCAAUAAUGAUGAUUGCCCAUGUGUUUUCAUAAAAAAGUCCGCAACCGGAUUUUGCAUUAUUUCAGUGUAUGUUGAUCAUCUUAACAUCAUUGGAACCACCGAAGAUAUUGAUGAAGCACGCAAUAUCUUAAAGACGGAAUUUGAAAUGAAGGAUUUGGGUAAAACUAAAUUUUGCUUAGGAUUACAACUUGAGCACCUUCCCUCGUGUAUUUUGGUUCAUCAAACCGCCUAUAUCCAGAAAAUAUUGGAGAAAUUCAAUAUGGACAAAUACUAUCCAUCCAAAAUCCCUAUGGUAGUUCGAUCUCUAGACAUAGAGAAAGAUCAGUUUAGACCAAUGGAUGAUGGAGAAAAGAUAUUAGGACCUGAAGUCCCAUAUCUUAGUGUGGUUGGAGCGCUCAUGUAUCUUACAAACUGCACCAGACCUGACAUUGCAUUUGCAGUAAAUUUAUUAGCUAGACAUAGCGCAGCUCCCACUAAACGCCAUUGGAUCGGAGUUAAGAAUAUCUUUCGAUAUCUCCAAGGUACAAAGGAUCUUGGCCUCUUCUUUCAAUUUCAAAGAAAUUUGGACAUUGAUUUGAUUGGGUAUACAGAUGCUGGCUACUUAUCUGACCCCCAUAAUGCCAGAUCACAAACCGGUUUCGUGUUCCUACAUUGUGGGACAGUCAUAUCAUGGAAAUCUUCCAAGCACACCCUAGUGGCUACAUCCACCAAUCGUUCUGAAAUAAUCGCAUUAUAUGAAGCAUCACGUGAAUGUGUAUGGCUUCGCAGAAUGAUAAACCACAUACAAAAAUCAUGUGGCAAAGGUCUUAUCAAAUCUCCAACCAUUAUCUAGGAAGAUAAUGCUCCUUGUGUUGCUCAAAUGCAAACGGGUUAGAUAAAGAGCAAUAUCACUAAGCAUAUUUCUCCUAAAUUAUUUUUUCCCCAUCAAUUACAGAAGAAAGGGAAAAUAAAUAUUUUGCAAGUUAAAUCGUGCGAUAAUCUCACUGACCUAUUUACAAAAUCACUCCCAGCUUCAACAUUUGAAAAAUAUGUUCAUGGGAUAGGUAUGCGAAGACUUCGGGAUUUGCAAAGAUCAGGGGGAGUUUCUCUCUCUGAAAAAUAACCCGUUCAAACAUUAUAUUGCACUCUUUUCCCUUUAUGAGUGUACUUCCAUAGUUCUCAUCAAGGUUUUUAAUGAGACAAUAUCAACAUAAGACAUAUGUCAUACUGUCCGUUUUUCCCCACCGGGUUUUUUAGGAAAAGUAUAUACGACGUAUUUUUGUCCUCUAAUUUUAUGGAUACAUUUCAUAUAGAAUUGACAGAGGCAAUAAUCAUUAUAUGUUGUAUCAUUUUCUCCUUAUUUUUCCACAAGGUUUGAAGGAGUUUUAGCAGCAUAUACUAUACUACUUCUCAUAUUUUUCUCACGGGGUUUUUGGAGGAGACUAUUUUAAGAUGAUGAACAUACAUUUUAAGAUGAUGAACAUACGAUGAAUACUUGCUGUUUUCCCUGCAAUGAAACUGUAUGUACGACCGUGGAAUUCUAGUCCAGUCAUUUCAAUGUCAUUUACGGUGAAACUGAGGAGCAUAACGUACGGGGACACAUGCUAGCUGCAAACACGCGCACUCCGGCCGCCGCCAGUCAUUUGCAACACUGUGCGUUGUGUCAAGCUACGGAUUUCCGGUGGUGGCUGUCGACCGAGAUCGAACGUUUCUUCCGGCGACCUCUAUCUUUUGCUGUGGUAAUUUCUUUUGUCGUCGCUAGAGGACGUGGAUGAUAUUGUUGCAACGCACGGCAAUUCUUUGGUUUUGUUUAUUUAUUUAUAAAUAAUCUAACUGCUGCGGUCACGAUGGAUUUUCUAGGUAGCAUACCUCUUGUAUCUACUCCACGUCUUCACUUCAACUUUAUGCGUGGCUAGCUAGGGCAGUUGCCGACAGUUUGGACAAAAGAUCAGAUCAGUGGCCGAAUCGGGUAAGGUUGUCGGUUCAAGGUUUCAUCGGUCGGUUCACAGUCUGUUUUUUUUUUUWAUAAAAUAUCUUUUGUAUACUGAUGUAAUAUAUUUACCUUUUUCUUAACACAACACAGUCACAUACACUCAUAGAUACGCAAAUAUACUUACCCCUAUGACUGGGAGCUAUGACAUGUUUUCCUUGGGGUUUGUGAUCUCGAACGGACCACUAUUUGUACACGUCGACUUGGUUCGACAUCUCCGGUUUUACCUCCCAAUUCUUUAUCUUUAUCUUUAUCUUUACCUACUAAUAAAGCAAUUAGUGCUUCUGUUGUCCGUCUUUAACAUUGCCCAUAAAGUUGAUGAAAAUUAUCCACAAUUGCCACUUAUAAGUCAUUGAAAACAUUUCAAACAAGAAAAUCUUUGGACUGGGCCGGCCCAUGUAGGCACCUCCUAUAUUACGCUCUGGGCAUUGCAAAAAGAUGCAGCACACCUAUUUGGGCCGGUCCAUGCGUGGCCGCCUGUUAUUUUAGUUUUUUUUACUUUUCAGUUCUAUUUUUUUCUACUUUAAAUAAUUUAGAAGUUCAAAUAACUUUUUCUUAAAUUUAAGAAACUGAGAAUUUUGAAAUAAAAUAUUAAAAAACAUAUUUUUUUGAGAAUUCAAAAACUACUCAGGAGUUUUGAAAAAUGUUUGCAUAUACAAAGAAAUGUUUAAAUUUUUAAAAAAUGUCUGUAAAAUGAAAAAAGUCAAUAAUUUCAAACAAAAGUCCGUGUAAAAAUCUUAAAAACAGUUUGUGCCUCUGUUUUUAGUCUCAUUUUUAAUUUUCAUUUUCUGUUCCAUUUUUUAAAUUUAAAUAAUAUCGACUUUUGAAAUUUUUUUGCAACUUAUAAAACUUAGAAUUUUGAAAUAUAAUUUUGAAGAAAAUAUAAAAUGUUUGUGAAUUCAAAAAAUGCUCGGGAUAUUUGUAAAAGUAUUCCCAUAUUCAGAAAAAUGUUCAUAAUUUUGAGAACAAUGUUGGUGAAAACAAUAAAAGUCCAUGAUUUUGAGAAAAACGUUUGUGUAUUAUUUUUUGAGUGCAAUUGAAAAAAAUAUUUGCUAAUUCAAAAAAUGUUCAUGCAUUUCAAGAAAUGUCCUAAAAUUUUAAGGACGUAAUAUGAUCAACAUCCUUGAAGAUUAUAAUUAUUUUUCUUCCGUUGCAUCGCACGGGACCUUUUGCUAGUUGCAUAAAAAGUUCAAAACCUUUCGAUUCAACCGGUCCACUUUGGUUUAACAGGUGGAACGUCCAGAGAGUUUAAGAAACCGGCAUUGUCCCUGGUUCCAGCUUUCAGUUUCACCAGCGGUCCCGUCCCGUGCUGAUAAAUAUGCUGGCCGAUUAAUUUCGAUAUAUGCCUCUUUUAUUCUUUUAUCUAUCAGCAUAUCAACAUUUGUGUGCAUGUUGAGUCGUUGACUUGCCACCUCGAUCCAUCUUAUAUUCAUUUAUUUGUUCGAGUUGUGCAUUCUAUCUUUGCAGGUGCAAGAGAUAAUAAUUCAGUAUAACCUAGACACUUUCCUCCAUCUAUGGAUUCUCUACUUGAACAUUACCAUCAUAUACCAUCCAGAUGAUACUAGCUGGAUUACUGGGUUGGAUUACAUCUUCGAGUUGGCACCUCUCUUAGAAGAUUUGGAACUACAUGUAAGUUCUUCACUCGCCGAUCAUGGUACUUGCAUCUGUUUGUAUACAAAUAUGUAUUUGGUAUUAAUGAAUGGUUGGAUAUACUUGUGCAAAUAAAUUGUGGUAGAUUUGGCCUUCCUACAAGGAGUGACAACUCUUCCAAGGCCUCGGCGUCAUCAUCUCAGUAGCGCCCGCAUUAUUGAUUUUGUGAUCUGGUGGGGAUAGUCGAGCUUGAUGUCCUCCAGAUCCAGGCACGACGCGCCACAUAGAAGCCUCGUGAUAUCCCCCGGUGGGCGUCACCGACAGAGACAAUUGUGCAAUGAAGACCCCGGCAGCCUUUGUUGUCGCCCUAUAACUGUAGCUGGGUUUUUGCAACUAGGGCGGUCGCGUGGCUCUGCUCAAGCUGCCCACUAGUCCCCUGUUUCGACAUGAUCCAGAAGACAAGUCGCGGAGACUAAACAAGGUUGAACAACAUGUGCCUCUUGCAGUUUAACUAAUGAUGCUUCUUAAAUAAUGCCUUGUCACUUGCUAGAUUUUUCCUCCAAGUUUCUAUAUGCACCGUACCUUGCAUGUCUCUCAGAGAGGAUGGUGUACUGUUGAUGUAUGUACCACUUCUUUUUGCAGGGAAUGUAUAUAUCAUGUACGUACCACUUGCAUGAGCCGCUGAAUGUUCCUAGGUAGUCUUAACGUAUGUUCGUACGCUAACCAUUAGGCUACACUGGAGCGAGUAGUAGUCAACAAGUCAUGGAUGAUGGGAUGCGUGCGUUCAUGCUCUAAAAAGUCAAAGGCUAGCUCUUUUUCUUAAAUUUGUUGCAAUGGUUUUUAGUUGUUGUGGCUAGAAGACGUGGAUGCUAUUGUUGCAAGGCACGACAAUUCCUUGUUUUUAUUUAUUUACAUUUAAAAAUAUGUUGCAGUCGCGACAUAUUUUCUAGGCAGGACGGCAUCUCAUCCCCUUCAUCUUAUCAGUUAACUCGCUAUGCUGUUUAGAUUUCUACACCAUCUCAACUUUGCACAUUUGGUUCGACCUCUUUGGCCGCUAUUGGCCCCUUACGUCAAAUGGUUUCGGCUUUUCUGAUGAAAUGUUUUAAUCACCGAAUAAAGCAACAGAACACGUACUUAAUUUGUACUAAAACCCGAUGAGAUGCAGCCGCGCAGGUAAGGAAGCCCAUCUAUGGGCCCAUCCAGUUUGCCGUACAUAACAACACAAGCCCGUGAAUAUUUGAUUGUCGCAUAGAGAAAAUGUAUUUAAGAAUUCACUAACUGCAACCUUGAAACAUUAAAUAGAAGAAUGACAGAGUGUAGACGUGCACUACCUUUUGGUCAGGGGCAGAGCUAGGAUUUGAACAUAGGUGGGGCGAAGAGGACAAUGCACGUGCAGGAAAUUCAGGACCAAAUAUAUUGAUUCUGAAAUAUAGUGUUAAUAUCAAACAAACAAUGUUAUUUUUUCCUGCAAUAACAUUGAAAUAGCUAGGUUUUUUAUUAGCUUAGAUAUAUAUCUACACACAUCAGGCCCAUCAAACGUCAAGGUUUGUAGAGAUUUCACUCCCAAAAUAUAUACUCCCUCUGUACCUAAAUAAUUGUAGUAGGGAAGAACUAGUCAAGUUUUCCCCAAUUACAAUUAUUUAGAUACAGAGGGAGUACAUGUCACUCUGCAAUGUGCAAUCUCAUCAGUAGACUGGGUGGUUAAAAUAAAUGGUUUCAAUUGUUAGUUAUUGGUGGUCUCUUCUUCCUCAUGCUUUAUGCAAUUCUAGACUUCUAGUUAGUACACAAAUAUCAUUUUUAAUUGAAUCUAACUGGUACAACCUCUGUCCCAAAUUACGUGUCUUAAAUUUAUCAAGAUAUGAAUGUGUUGUAUGUAAACAAACCUAAGACAAGUAACCUUUGGAUCCGCACUGCUUCUGGUACUACCUCAUGUUGGUUUAACAGUGUGCCUCCUCACGCCAUCCAUGAUCAGCGUGUUAGUUAAGCUGUCUUUCCACUCUCUGCCAUAUCUCUUAUACCACUAUCAUGAUGGGCUUGCCUGCAUUUAUACAUAUACUUCUUUUUUUGCACCGUUACAUAUACUUUUUUCGUCACGGGUUAGAAGGCGUGCUUGGAAAUUCUCUGGAACCUAGGCGUUGUUGAUUGAAUGCGAGAUGGGUUGAAAAAUAGAAUUCACACUACGCAUGCAUACAGAACUAGUACAAUGGAGUACUAAUUGGCUGCUAAAAGUAAAUGCAAUGUGUCCACAACUUUGUUUAGUGUGAAAAUGCACGUAAAUUUAACCAUGCGUUCUAAACCGCGACUGAGGGAGUACUUGAUAUGGCAAGUUCUUUUUUAGCAUUUGUGGGCAUAUGUUGGCUUUAUUGACCAUUAAUGGGGUGAUAGUGACAAGGUAGCAUUUCUAGUAUUAUAGGUGAUCCAAAUUUAACGGUGUAUAAUGACCACACUAUUAUCCAAAUGGGAACAACCUCCCAUUAAUGGUAGGAGAAUCAGUCACCCAUUUUUGUACAACCUCCCACUAAUGUGUCUGUGAUUUGUUUGCAAACAUUUAUUUUUUACUCUCACUGCGAAAUGCCCCUAUGAGGAAGAACAACAUAAAAAUAGGUCUCGUGCCUGUGAGUUUUUGCAAAGUUUUUUACUCUCCCUGUCAAGUGGCCCUACAAGUAAGAACAAUAGUAAAAAAUGGAUCGUGUACCUGUGAUUUUUUACAAAGUUUUUUACUCUCACUGCCGAGCGGCCCUAUUAAGAAAAGCAAGACAAAAAUUAGGCAGCAGCUUCAAGGGGUUGAACCAGGUUCCAACUCACCAUCGUACCAUCGCAUACUUCCAAUUUUUCACAGGUUACAAAUGAAGUUAUUCCAUUCCUAAUAAAAUUUGAAAUAAAAAUGAGUUUUUGUUCGGUACACCGUACCCCCGCCCCCUCCCUCACAACCUACCUUGAAAAAAGCCAAGGCACGCGUUGGUUUGAAGUUUUCGUAGCAAUCUAGAGGAUCUGUGUGAUAUUUCAGCUGCAACGGACUGCAGUUCUUUGUCGAUUUUUCUGCAAAUGAUUUACCUAUUGUGGCCGCUAUAGAUUUUCUAGGUAGCAUGUCUUCUCAUCCCAUCCCGGGCCUCGCUCUCGAGGCCAUCGGGGAUCAGUUUGUGUGUUCGUCCGAUUUCUUCUAAGAUCGAUCUGCAACGUCCGUCGGUACCGCUGGAGCUGCACUUCCACUCUAGUGUGGCACGCCAAUAUUUUUUAUCAUAUCUACACGCCGUUGCUUAUACUUUAAAUGGUAUGUUUUGGGAGCAUUCGUUUGUAGCCUUAUGCAACAUAGACUAUCAUGCAAUGACAGGAUGACAGUGACUGAGGUAGAAUUUCUGGAACCGUACCCAAUGACAGAUUUUAAGAUGGAUGGUGAUCACACUGUUAUCCAGAUGGAAAAACCUCCAAUGGUAGGAAUCAUAUACUUGGGCAUGUUGUCCUGAUUUUUCUUUUUGAAAUUGAGACAAAAUAUUUGCCUCAUCUCACUAAUAAAAGAGAGGGUUGAAUUACAUAGCUGGCUGUCCAAGGACGGCUCUCCAAUUUUGUUUUUUAUUCUUACGACAUUACAGAACUAACAUCCUCAGAGCAACUCUAGCACACCCCGCAUCCAUCCCCGACCCGUAAAAUAACCGCCAAAAUGCGGGUACGGGCCGGAAAGCCUGCCCGACCAGACCACGCAUCCCGCCCCGGUCCGCAAAUUUUUUUUGGGGGCGCGGCAAAUUCCCGACCCCAACCCGGAAAAACGCGGGUUUCCGCCUCGCUGCUGCGGUGCCCUGCAUCACAGAGAAGCAGUUGGCGGGAGGGACAUUUCAGGCCGCGCUCUUUGCCCCCUCCUUCCGCCGCCGCCCGCCCUUGCUUACGCCCGCCCGCCGCCGGCGAUUCCGGCAAUAUCUGCAGGCGAGCCGCUGCACCGCCCCUCCGGAUCCGGUGAGAAGACSCCCCCCCCCCCGCCGCUGUCGCCGCCGGGGUAUCGACCACCAUCGAGCGCACCCCCUCGUCGCCGCCCGGGUCAUCCGCAACCGGUUAGUCCUUUAUUUUUAUUUUUGUGAGCUGUGCGAGAAGUUCUUACUAUCCGAUUCGUCCGAUUCGGACGACUCGGAUGUUGAGACCAUGCUUGCGAACUUUCGGCAGCAAACAUUAGUCAUGGCGCUUGCCGUGAAGGAGCAUGAAGACGAGCACCGGAAGAGGAGGCGAGGAUUGACUGUCGGGCGUUUGUGCAUUUCUCGAAAUCGCCAUCUUGGAAACGAGAUGUUGAUGCAAGACUAUUUCACGAAGAAUCCUACAUAUCCUCCGCACCUCUUUCGGAGAAGGGAUCGAAUGCGCCGAUCCCUCUUUGUGAAACUUGUUCAAGCUUGCGAGUCAAAUUGCCGGUAUCCAUUUGUAUUUGUAUUCAUGACAAGUUUUGUAUUGCACUAUUUAAGUUUGCUAUGGUUAUUUGAAUAAUUAUUUGUAAUGCGGAUGAUUAUUGUAUUAUGUUUGAUUCGAAUAAUUAAGUUUGUUUUCGAUUGUUGAAUUAUGUUGUAUUUGAUAUUUGUGGGCUGAUGAUAUGCGGGAUGCAGCGGUGCAAAGAGCAGACCCCGCAAAGCCGACCAGUAAAAAAGUAUAUUCCGCGAAUAUAUAUUUUGACGGAUCCGUUUGGAGGGUCUGCAUGUGUGCCAGCCCGGGCCAGCCCGCAAAAGCUGUUUUACACGAACUGCAAACGCGUUUUGCAAGCAAGUAGUACUUGUUGUGGAACACGUCCGGCGUUCCACCACUCCUUAAUAGUGCCAAUUUUCUGGCCCCCUCUUGCAAAGUUCACUAGUGGAAAACGGACCUUUGGCCGGGACCCUUUAGUCCCGGCCUGCCUCUAGGCCAGGAUUAAAGGCCCGGCCACGUCACCCCAGUUCUCAAUGCCUCCCUCGAGGCUUUAGUCCCGGUCCGUAAGGAGCCUUUAGUCCCGGUUCGUGUCCCAAACCGGGACUAAAGGGCUACGCGGCGGGCAGUGGUGGUGGCAACCGUUCGUAUCCCCCUUUAGUCCCGGUUGGUGGCUCAACCUGGGACUAAAGGCCUAACACGUGGCAUGUCGUAGUGGUGGCAACCGUUGGUAUACCUCUUUAGUCCCGGUUGGUGGCUCAACCCGGGACUAAAGGCCCAAACGGUUUGCAUCCCGCGUCGUUUCGGGCAAUGAAAAGCACGAACCGAAGCACAGUCGCCAUUUCUCUGUUUCUUCUUCUCUCUCGCUCUCCCUCUCUGUUCUUCUCCUCUCUUCUUCCCUUCUCUUCUUCCACCAUGCCAACUCGCUUUCAAAAGGUGCUCGCACAUCGCACGACCAUGCUCGAUGUCGUGUACACGAACGAGAGCAGGGAGGUGCCAUUUUUUCUUGAAUAGUUGAAGGAAAAAUGUCUUGACGCCGCAAUGGAUCAUGAGAAGUUUUUGGGGCUUGAUCUGGAGUACACGGCCGAUCAACACGGUGUUGCCGUCAUCCAACUAUGCUUCGCACGCCAUGUCUUGAUCUUCCAAUGGGCGAGGUAAGUUUUGAGGCUUUCUUUGAUCCAAGAUAAUGACAUUGUAAGUUUAUUUGUUUCAAUCAUAGUUGGUUCCCUUCAAAUAGUUGUAGUGAAACAAUUUUGAUUAGUUGAAGGGGAACACAAUCUAAUUGGUAAUAGURGUUCCAUAAUCUGAAAAUCGUAUUAGAAUCAACUAGUGUUUAAUAUGUUUCAUUGGAAUCAUAGUUGGUUCGCUUCAAAUAGUUGUAGUGAAACAAUUUUGAUUAGUUGAAGGGGAACACAGUCUGAUUGGAAUAGUGUUCCAUAAUCUGAAAAAUCGUAUUAGAAUCAACUAGUGUUUAAUAUGUUCCAUUGGAAUCAUAGUUGGUUCGCUUCAAAUAGUUGUAGUGAAACAAUUUUGAUUAGUUGAAGGGAACACAAUCUGAUUGGAAUAGUGUUCCACAAUCUGAAAAAUAUGAUUGGUUCAAUAUGUUCCAUUGAAAUCAUAGUUGUAGUGAUACAAUUUUAUGCGGUGUUCUUUGAUCCAAGGUUAUGAAAAUUGCAUAUAGCUAGUGAUCUCUCUAGGUUCCAUUGGAUAGCAAUAUGAUAUGUCAUAGUCAUGAAAAUUGCAUAUAGCUAGUGAUCUCUCUAGGUUCCAUUGGAUAGCUAUAGUGAUCUCUGUAGGUUCCAUUGCAUAUGUUCUAUUUGAAUCCUAAAGAUAAUUUUCUCUUCAGUUGUAGUGAAACAUGUUUCCUUAUUGCAGCAGUAUGUAACAUUUGUUCCAUUUUAAUUUGUUUCUGUUGCAGUAGUGACAAGCAUUGUCCAGAACUCAUGGACUUCCUUCGCAGCGGCAUCACUUUUGCUACCGCUGACAUAAGGAACGACAAGCUGAAGAUGAGGUACAACUUCGGUAUUGCAGAAGGAAAACGCCAGGAUAGCAAAGGAACAUCAUGAUGCGCAGAUGAAAAAGAAGGAACCCGAGCCCCGCCCGGAAUACACCGAGAAGCAAAUAGCAUGGGCAAAAGACUUCAUAACCCUUCCAUCACAAUAUGACUUACACUAUAAGCCUGAUGACUAUACACGCACAUUGCAGAAGGAAGUGAAAAAGAGCAGUUCAUGUGCAAGUGCAAGUGGGAGCAAAUCAAGUUCAACUACAAGCAAGAAAAAAUCAGACGUUCCUCAGCUUGGACAACAGGCCAAACAGUCGAUCCCACCCCUCAAGGUGUUAACCGAGAAUGUUCCCCCUCCGAUGCAGGGGCAAGCUUUUGAAAGAGCAAAGGAGUUGGCGGCUGAAUGUGGUAUCUCGGUUGAAGAUUUGCCGGCUUCCCAAGACGACAGGAUACCCAAGGCUGUGGUAGCCCCUAAGCCACAGUUUGUCAUGGGAGAGCCUUUGGUCAGCAAAGAUGAUCUCCCAACAAAUAUGCGUUACUUGCAUCAAUGGUACUUAAGUGAAUCAAAGAAUGGGAGAAUGAUGAUCGUGCUGAGUGUCCCACGGGAGUACUACGGCGGCUCCGAAGAAAUCCAUAUCGACUUUGAUGAACUCUUCCAGAUGUACAAUGGCGACGCCCUCGAUAAAUCGCUUAUGAGUUGCUAUUGUCUGUAUGUUUUUCAAUUCGUUGUCUACAUAUAACUUGUUUAGUUAUUUCAAUUCAUUGUCUAUAUAUAACUUGUACUCUAUUAUGCAGAAUGAAGAUUCUGGAUUGUAAAAGUAAGACCAUCCUAAAUAUUGGGUUUAUUGACCCAGAUAAAAUACAUAUAGCGACGCUAACUGAUAAACCCAAGGAGGCAGAGGAAAACCUUCUAAGGUUUCUAAUAAAUCAAAAUUUCUGUGACCACAUACUGUUUCCAUACAACUUCAGGUGAGGGUCUUUACUCUGUUGUGUCCAUUCACUUAUAAGUGUAAUUGAUAAGUUACUGACAUAUACACACACACACACACACACACACACACACACACACACACACACAUGUGCAGCUUUCAUUGGAUUCUGUUGGCCAUUCAAAUUGAUAAGGGAAGAGUUGAUGUCUUCGACCCAUUAUCGAGACCCUUGGAACAGUUCCAAAGCCUGCAGGACAUGCUCCAAGGGUAAUUUUAAUCAAUCUUGCGCUCUAUCGGUCUCUUUCAAUGAUUUUCUGAUAUAUCAAUUAAUGAAAAACUUAGCAAAUCAUUAUCCUUGUCAGGCAGGGUUUGGAAGCGGUUCAAGUGCGUGACUCCCGGUAACUUUCCUGAGAAGCUGACCUUUAGAGCGGCUCAGGUAAGUAGUAGUAUGAUAUACUUCUAUUAAUUUUCAAUACAUUUAUGAUGCUAGAUUAUUAUUUUGAUUAUAUAUAUUAUAUUCUCGUAAAGUGCGACCAGCAGCCACGGGGAACGCAUCUAUGCGGAUACUAUGUUUGCGAGACCAUUCGCACGUUUACCUCUGAGCUCAAGGAUCACAGAUUCGACGUAAGCAAUGAACAUUCACACCUCUAUUUUUACCCGUCAUUCUUUGUUAUCAUGAUUGAUAUUCAUAUUCAUCUCCUCUUCUUAUAUAGCACACGACCAUGAGGACGAAGGUCCUACCAGAGCAACGCGCGAUUGCUGUUGCAGAGGAGCUUGCGGGAUUUCUGAGAACGGAAGCUAUAGAUGACAAAUGACGAUUUAGUGUAACCAGGGGCCAUUACUGAUGUUCGUCCAUGUAAUCGAAUAGACGGGCUCUAGUCCCGAUAAUUCAAAUCUCCAUAUAAUUGUAUAUAUAUGCUCGCUUGUAAGAUAAGUUAAUCUUAUAUAUAUAUGCAUAAUUAUUUCUAUUUAAAUUAUAUGAAAACUAAUUCCCGAACACCAAACAAGGCAUCACGUUAAUCUCCCGAACACCUAAACCCUAAAACCCUAAAACCCAAAAAUAAUUUCAUUCAAAAAAAAACCCAAAACCAGUAAAAUCUGAAAAUCUUUAGUCCCGGUCCGUGUAACGAACCGGGACUAAAGGGCCUGCCCCUGGGACGCUACGAGGCGCCCACGUGGAGCACCUUUAGACCCGGCUUGUAACAGGGCCGGGACUAAAGAUUAGGCCUUUAGUCCCGCCCCUUUAGUCCCGGUUGGUGAACCGGGACUAAAGCCAGUUCGAACCCGGUCCUGUAUGUAAGUCAAGCAAAGAAUUUAUGCUCUGGUGGUGCCUGAUUGUUCCACACAGCCGUCAUAUUGUCUUAUCACUCACUCAUUUUAUUACAACACCAAAAUUACACAAAAACAGUAGCACCAUGACACGGCGUAGAGCACACACACGCUCACAAGCUUCAGCAUAAAUCAGCACAAAACUUACUGGGAGGUAGCAUCUCUGGACUUCUAGCCAAGACAGAUUUCACGUUGUAUGGUGAUCAGAGUGUUAUCCCAAAUGGGAACAACCUCAUAGGGUAGGAAGCAUAUAUAUAUACUCCGGGCAUGAUGUCUGAUCACUCAACUCAUUUUAUUACAACAUCACAAUUAUAAAGAACCACUAGUACCAUGACAUGAUCAUAGCGCACACACACACACGCUCACACGCUUCAGCAAUCACGGCAACUAAACAAUUUCUUACAUGGCGGAGGCAUGGCCCUCGUCGCUGGCGGUCUCGAUGCCGUCGACACGGCUGUUGGGGACGGCGCAGUUGAACCGGAUCUCGCCCUGGCUGCCGGUGAGCAAGUCCAUGUUGCUCAUCUUCACCAUGGACUUGGCAAACUGCUCGAAGAACGCUCCCUGGUUGAGGGCGAAUCGCGUCGCCAUGCGCGUGGUUUCAGGGUGGACGAUGAGGCCCUGGUCCGACUUGAACAGGCCCUGCUUGGCGAUGAGAUCAAAGUAGUACUUGUUGUCGAACACGUCCGGCGUGCGCACAUCGAGCGACUGGUUGACGCUAAGCGCGGGCACGUCGUUGGCGCACUUGGCCUUGAGCUUGGCGGCGAAAUUGGGGUCGAUUGCUGGGUUGGUGUCGACUUCCGGCGUGAAGCGGUCGGAGAAGGCGGGGCAGUGGGCGAUGCCGAACGUGUGUGCGCCGGAGAGGGACACCAGGUCGGCCUUGUCGAGGUUGCGGUCGCCGAAGGACUUGAGGAGCUCCGGCACGGUGAAUGAGGGGGCUGGAAGGGUGAAGACGAGGUCCUGCGACGCUGGGGCCAGCCCGUCGCGCCGGCCCAGAGCCACCUCAAAGCGGGGCCCGCCA
Molecule: long non-coding RNA, 44693 nt
Filed under: Hordeum vulgare
Lineage: Eukaryota; Viridiplantae; Streptophyta; Magnoliopsida; Poales; Poaceae
Description: long non-coding RNA (HVUL_LNC006049)
Source: RNAcentral